UUUUUUUUUUUUUUUACUUCUACUAAUAAAAAAUUACAAAGAUGUUAAUUUUUUUGCUAUUUCAUUAAAAAUAAUAGUAAAGUGAAGAAAUUAUUCUCAUUAUUAACCAAAAAUAACUAUUAAAUUAACGCAGAUUUGGCAGUUAUCAAUAAUAUAUAAUGUUCAUUGCAGAAGAGCAUCAUUUGAUUAAAAAAUAAUAUUUUUUAAUGAGAUAAAGAAAUAUUUAACAACUUUUGAGAAGUACGUAAAGUUGACUGCUGUUUAAUUACAAAUUUAAAAUUUAUAAAUUUCCUAAGUAACUUAUUUCGUGUAAUUAUAAACACAAAAUAUCAUUCUUUAUAGAUGUACAUUGCAAUAAUUCUCGUUCACACAACACUAAAAUUCUUUACUUAUUUCGUAAAAGUUGCAAAUGAUGUAUUCAUAUAUGCUCUAUUUUCUUAACACUAUAUAUAUUAAUAAAUCCCUUAAAUAUAUAGUAAAAGGGUAGUGCUAUAUAUGAACAAAUACUAAAAGAUAAAAGGAAAAACUAAUAAUCAUAGUCUUCAUAGACAUUAGAAUACAUAAGAAUUUUGAAUGCAAAAUAAACAAAAUUCCAAGCAUAUAAUACGAAAUGUGCAAUUUUUACUUAUACACGUGAAGUAUUUGUAAAGUAUUAUUUUAAAAACAAAUAUAUUAUUACAUUAAAAUAAAGUGAUGGUGGUAUAUGAAUGCGUGGUGGGGCAUAGGUAUGGAAACUUACAAGACAAAAAUCUUGGGAAUCACAUGUAAUGUAAUAUAAUGUAAGGCAUAUCAAACAAACAAACCAACUGUCUAAUCCCAAAUUUGAUUCUCUCUUCAUCCACCAACCCAACUCAACUCAACCCCCUACUUUCUCUUCUACGUCUACAAAUCUAAAAAUUAUAGGAGUAGAAGGGGGAAGAAGGUUCUGUUCCUAGAAGUACAACUACAACUACUACACCACAAUAACAUAACGUAGUAGCACAUAUACAUGUAACAUGUAUGUGUGGGCUAACCAUGUUGUCGUGUAAACGCAAUAAUCAUAACCUAUUACCCUUUGAUUUUACCCAUUUUGGUCGCUUUGGUAGACUUUGAUUCCCCGACAAGCUUUGGUGUUUCAUCCAUACUGUACAAUCUGUCACACGCAGUUUUCUAAACAAAACUAGAUAGACUACAUCGUUAUUUUUGUUAGACCCGACCUAAGCCAAUGUCCAGCGAAGCAGAUUCAUGUUGCCAUCUCAUUUACUUUAUAAUGUAACAACCCAAUGUUUUGCGGAAAAGGAACCGAAAAUACUAAUUGUUUUAUUUGUUAGAGAGACCGAUUCUUGCACAAUUUAUGAUACAUGUUUAUUCCUUGCUUAGAAAAAUUAGUGUCUUAAAAAUAUAUUAUAUUCUGUCCUUUUUUCCCCCUCAAACGAGAGGAUAUGUACAACUCAAUAUGAUAUAUGUAUCCACGGAUGAUAUCAUGAUUUCAAUUCCCUCUUGUCAAAACAAACCAACAACUAGGUAUUGUCACUCAACCAGCUUAAAUUUUGAACUGAUUGAAUGACGGUGGUGGGCUAAAAAUUUUGAAGGGAGAACUCAAAUCCAAAACCAUUUAAGAUUAAACAACUUACUGUUAGUUAACUUACGCAAUUUUUUUUUACUAAUUACAGUUUUUUUCAUGAAAGACAAUAUAUUUAUGAAUCAAUGAAUAUUAUUAUAAACAGUAAAAAAAUUCUCUAAAUAUUUAAUCUGGACACUUAGAAUUUUAACUCAAAAUAUAAGAAUUAAAUAUGAUACCAAAAAAUUUACAAUAUUCACAUAUUCUAUUCAACUAACUGAUUAAAAUCCUCUUAGAUUCCGUGGUGAUUAAAACAGGCAUUUGAUGAUUCACAAUGUAAAUAUUUAUAUAAUUUUGUGUUUACAAACAUUUAGAUAAUAAUCUAGCCAAACAAAAACUUUUUUGUUUCAGAAUUUUUACUCAAGUUAUUAAAUUCUGAAGGUAGUAAGAACAAAUGAGAAAAAGUAAAGGGUGUUAAAAUAAAAGUGGGGGAGUCAGAGUCACAGACUCACAGUGUAGUCCUAGUCCAUUUGCAUUGCAGCAAGCAGGGAUAUAGCAUAAAAGGAUGCAACAACCAAUGGGUUACUUUCCAUCAUCACUUUGGUCCCUACCACUGCUUCUAUAGGGUCUCUGCCAUUUUUUACAUGCCCAGAGAGUCCCAGACCAAGAUAUCAUUAUCGGGAUCCUGUCCACUGAAACGUUCCAUUGUUAUUUAUGCCUAUAUAUGGCUAUGGAUUCCCUUCCUUCUUCACAGGUCAGACACAUUCCACGCCCAUUCUUCACCCUCUCCACUUCGAUUGAGUGAUUUAUUUCAUAUACUAGGGUUAUUUUUAUUUCACAACUCACCAUAAUUACGUUGUGUUUGGACGUGAGGAAAUAAGAGAAAUAUAAAAAAUGAAUGAAAAGAAGUGAAACCGAACAUAUAAGUAAAAAAAUAAGGUUGUUUGAUUAUAACUAUCAUCAUCUUUUAUUUGUUAAUAAUGUAAGAUUAUUUUAUAUUAGUGUAAUUAUUAGUGUAUGACUAUUAAAUGCAUAAAAAAUAUUACAUAAAAAGAGUAAUGCACAAAGUAAAUAAAAUAGUAAAUAGUUUAUAUACAAAUGGUCUAAAGGGUUUUCACAUGACUAUCUAUUAGAAAUUAUUAUUUAUUGAUUUUUAUACUAAUUAUUUUAAAAAUUAUAUCAAUCAUAAUUUUGAUUAGUUGGUAAUAUAAAAUUUUCAUAUUAAUAAUGUAUAAAAAUUAAACUUUUGGUGAGAUUUAAUUUAAAUUUAUUAUCUGUAUGUGUCCAUAUAUCUAUGAACUAUCUAUUAACAUUUUAAUUAUAUAAUAUCAUAUAUUUUUUAAAAAUUACAUACUAUCAUGUUAUUGUACAAUAAACAUGUAUGUCAUAUUAUUUUAGUCACAAUACAUAUAUUAUGAUCAAUUAUGUAAAUCAAUUAACAUGAGAUUGUUGUAACUUAAUAAAUUAGUUCAAUUUUACUUUUUGAUUUAUAACUAAGUUAAAUACUUAGAAGGAGAAUUUUAUCAUUCAUAGUGGUAUAGCUCAAGUAAGAUUGUCUUCAUUAGAGGAUAGGUCUAUAUAUAUAAAAAAAAUCAUCAUAAAUACUAAAUUUUAAAUAAAUUGUAUAUCCAUAAAUUUGUAAUUUUGUAACUAAUAUAAAAUAGAUUUUAAAAUAAAUAUAUUAUUUGUUAAUAUAAAUUAAUUGAUAAAUCUUAUUUAUAAUUACAUGCGUUUUAAUAGAUUUAAUUUUUUAAUGAAAAAAAUUAAUAAUUAGAUUAAUGAAAUUUGUAGAACACACAAAAAUAUAAUAUAAGAAGUUCGAAUUGCAUUUAAACACCUUUUGCAAAGCAGUUCUCAAACAACAUAUAGAAUGUAAAACGAUUGGAUGGUCUUGUAAAGAUAUAAAACGGCUUUUUAGGAAACAAGUUCUCGAACAACAAAUGAUAUACACAAUUAAAUUCCCUAGUUAAAGACAAAUAAAAAUAACAUAAAGGAAAGAAGAAUGAUAUCAAAGUUAUAUUGAUUCGUCUGACCUAAAGACUAUGCCCACUCCUAGGUUUAAUUUGCUACUAAGAAUUCUACAAACUGUCCAAACAUUUUUAGGAGUAUUCUUUCUUUCUUACCUCUUCACGUGCACAAAUUGUUUUUUUUUCUUAUCCAGGCCUCUCUAUGCUUUCAAUAAUUUCAUAAAUAAAUGUUUAAGGAUCGAAAUACUCACAAGGCUUUUGUCCCCGUAAUUAUCAUUGAUUUGAUUUCGGUAAGGGCAUCACAAUACAAAUUAAGAUAUAGCCUAAAGAUUUUGCGUAUACGAAUAAAGAAUAUUCGUUAGUCUUCACAAAGGAUCAACAUUUGAGAUUAGCAAACAAAAACAUGUGCAUUUACCAAUUUUAAAUCUUUAACAUAAAAAUAAAAUAAUAAGGUUAUCAUUGUACGGUGCAUUCAUCGUAUUGAAAUAUGUAUAUAUGAAGGAAUGAAUUAAGGAGUUUUCAAUAUUCUUUUGUCAGUACUCGUGGAUGAAGAGUAUGAAAAGAAAGGCAGUGAAAAUUAACAACAUAUAUUGCAUAGACCAUAGAUGGUCCCUCUCCUACUUUCUUCCCUAUUGUAAGGCUUUAUAUAUUGUAUCAUGGACCCCUCCAUUAAUUCAUUUCUAUCUUCUCAAUAACUUUUUUUUUUUUUUGUGAACAUCUUCCCAAUACACUGGAUAGUAUACAUUUCUUUUCCCUCACUCAAGUUACCAGUAUUCUAUGAUUUAUUGUUAUUGUUUUGGAUUGGGCUCAAAGUUUGUUUGUUUUUUUGUAUAACAAGCCAUUUCGAUUUAAAGAAAUAGACAAAGCCAAUUUAUUAAUUAGUACUGUUGUUCAAAGUUUAUAUCAUAUUUUACAUUUGUCAACAGUAAAAUUUGUUUCAAUAUGAAGUUACUAUAUUCUUAUACUAAAAUAGGAUAAUAUUACUUUCGAAAGGUUUUGGGCCUUGUGGCAAGAAACUUAGUCCAUCUAAAACUACUAUAAAUAAAAUCAGUGUCCAUGUGAGGUAAAUAUUUAUUACAUAUGGUAUUACUCUUAACAAAAUUAUAACGACUUAUACUUCAGAGUGGUUUUUGUAGGUAUCUAUGUCUUGUUCACAAUAUCUCAACCAUAAUAGAGUGUUGCAGCACUGUUCGUACACCCCUAUCUCAAUAAAUGAUGAACACACUUCGAUCAAAACAUAGUCAAUACUAAAUCCCAAUCCACCCAAGAUGAUCGAGGCCAGCCUAGAUGAUCACGUAGAGGAAACAAACUAACCUCAGUAGCUUCACGUUGAUCAGUUACCUCCUUCUGGUCCUUUUUUACACAUGCUACAUCAUCCCUUGACUUAAGGAGAAGAUACCCUAGUUGUAACAAACUUUAAAGCCACCUUAUACACCAUUAGUGAAUGAUUUAGAAUAACACAUUUAAGGUAGAUGAAUAAUAUAAUAUGAAUGGCUAGGAUACCCUGCAGUGAUAAUGUGAUAAUGUCCCUGCAGACCCCUAUAUUAGGAAAUUUUUUGUUACAUAUGGUCUCUCUUAUAAAAUAGUUAUUGACUUAAACAUUACAAUGUCUUUUAAAAGUAUCCAUUUUUUGUUUAUGACAUCUCAAUCGUGUCAAACCGUUGCACUAUCAUCAUAUAUAAAAUCGAAUCUCAAUCGACAAAAAAAUACAUACACUUAUUAAAAAAAUACACUUCAAUCAAAUCUAUACAUUGUUCGGUCAAAAUUUACAUCCUUACCUCGGAGGCUCGGACACAACAAUUAUAAUUUUCAUCUUGUUUUUUUGUCUGUGACGUUAUAUUUCGAAAUGAAAGGAUAAUGCACUCAAACAUUAAGCAUUACGGGCAGGAAUUUGACAUGAAAAUUAAAUUAUAAAUGUUAAAAUAAUGAAUAAAAAAGGCGAGGAUUAACUAUUUUUAAUAAGAUUUUGUUAGUAGUAUUAUAACUAUUUUUAAGAUCGAAAAUACGUAUCAUGUUUUAUCAAUUGACUUGUAACGCGAAAUAUGAACCUUUGUGUACAGUAUCAUGAAAUACUUCAAGUUAAUUCAUACGACGUGUUCAAGAACUUUUAUUGACGUGACUAGACAUGGUGGACCAAUCACGUAGCAUAUAUACAUACAUAAUGCAUCAAUGAAAUGGAAAAUAAAAUGAUUAAUUAAUAAGAAUAAGAUGUGCCGUCUCAAUUAGCUAUAACAUAUAUAUAUAAUUAACACUAACCACGCUCGUGUUUGCGAUUUCAUUAUCACGAUAUUACGUUAUACGACGAACGGUGUCGAGAAAACAUGUAUGCCACCUAGUUUUAAACUUUCGGUUGCUUAUGAGACUCAUAUAUUUUUAGGUUUAAAAUUUUGAUUGUUUUCAUGUGGAACACUGCACCGUGGGGGGAGGGGGCAUUUUAUAAGAGCAAUAUAAAAACAAUAUUAAAGAUCUGAAGAGUUUUAAAAUUUAAAGAAAUUAAUAGAUAAAAGAUUUAUGCUCAGAAUGAUAUUUGAGCAGGUGUAACUAAUUAUAGUAUCAUUAAGUUAACGAUUUUAAUGGAAUAGUUAAUUUUGUUUAAAGCCGGAUACAUUGAAUGGUCCAACCAAUUAAUUGAAUAGUUUAAGAGAUCCGGUUGUACUUUGAGAUCUCUUUUAGAGAAGGUAUAAAAAUACUCAAUCCAAAGAUUGGAACACAUGAAUUCAAUAUUAAAUUAUAUAUUAUUAUACAUAAAAUUAGGUCUAAAGUAUAUAUCAUGGGCAUAUGAUCAUGCACACACCAUUCCAAACCCAAGGUACCUAAAAUAUAUUUCAAUUAAGUAUAAAGCCAAAUACCAAUUAAUUAGGAAAUCUCAAGAUAUAGUUAGUUAUACAUCGCUAUUAGGCACAUUACUAUAGGAGUAGAGUGAUUCAAUUACUCUUUGGAUGCUGCUAAUCAAUUUUGGACCACGAGGCAAAUGUAUAAAAAUAUUCUUAUGAAGUAUGUCAAGGUGAGAGAUGAGGAUAAAGUUUUUUUUUCUCUUUGUUUCUGGCUUAAAGUUCAUUUCUGUUUUAAGCGUCCUUUUCUUUUCUCUUCCCUUCCUUUUUCGUUGUCUUGUUCUGGCAUGUGAUUAGAAGAAUUAAUAAAAUUAUUGACAUAACUAUUCUAAAAAAGUUGUUAGAAGAAUAUAACUAUUGUGCAUUGUACAUGCAAUACAAUCUAAAGGGGAGAAAAAAUAUUUACCACUUCUAAAGCUCUUCAGAUCGAGACAUCGAGCUCGAUAAUCUUCAAGAAAAUGAUCAAUUAUAUAUUUAUAUGUAACUGGGAUCAAUAAAAAUCACAAAUUUGUAUAAUUAAAUUUAUUUAACGAGAUCAAAUAUUAAGACUGGUCUUACAACUAGCAGAUAAUAAUAAUAAUAAUAAUAAUAAUAAUAAUAAUAAUAAUAAUAAUAAUAAUAAUAAUAAAAUGUGAAUAAAUGGUUCGCCAAAAUACAAAGAUUAUUUAACCUUGCAAAUACAAAUUUGGUGUUUAGUGGUUGCAAAUUUGGCUUUAAUGCUUCAUAUAGAAGAUUCUCUUUAAAAAUAUAUUUGUUCUAUAGUAGGUCAUGAUCUAGCUAGUUAACGUCUAAUUAAAUUUAUUAAUGUUGACUACGGAACGGUCAUAUGAAUACAUUAAUUUAAUAAAUAAAGUAUAAAAUGGAAAAUAAAUAAAAUUAACACUUGAUUUUGUACAGUUGUUAUUUUAAUACUUUCUUUAUUUUAAAUUAUUUAAGGUAAUACGUGCAUCUUAAAACAAUUAUUAAAUAUACCAAUUAUAAUGAUAAACUGACUUUCUUGAACCAAAAUGUCCAUAACAAAGAUUUUUUUUUUUCGUUUACCAUGUUAUAAGUUCAAAGUAAUGUUAUAUAGUCUUGAUAAAAGAGAUAUGAGUUUAGUUUCAUCAGAAUGUAAUAUAAUGUUGGUCUUAACAAAAGAGUUUGAUCAGAAUAAAAAAAAAACAAAAAGAGUUUACAUACAGUUUUAUAAAUUAGUUUAAAUUCUUAAAUCACAUAUAAUUCCAAAUGAAACGAGAAUGAUUUGAGUUGCAUUUUAGAUUAUUUUAAAUAUGAGAAUUCAUACUUAAAAUUAGAUAAAACAUACAUUUUUAUUUUAAAAUUGAGUCAUAACUUUGACUUUUACAGAAGUUACCAAAAUAAAAUUUUAAAAUAAUUAGAAAUUUGAUUAUAGACUUAAUGAUAUUUGUUACUUUAUUUAAAAUAUUUAUAAAAUUAUACGAUAAAUUUAUGUUAAUAAAUUAAGAAAAGGAUUUUAAUUACGUUAAGUUUAAAAGUUUUGGUAAUUUCAAAGGGUGAAAUAAAAAAUAAUUCAAAUUCUCUACAUGUGACAAGAAAAAAAAUACUAACUAUCAAAUUCUCUAAUAAUAGAUAUUUUUUUCUUCCUAGCAUAAUCAUGCAAUAUUAGCUAAUCAUAAAAAAAUAUUAAUUGUAAUAAAUACUUAAAGAAGUGAUAUUUUGUUUAAAUAUUAUAUCAGUUUUCUAUUAAGGAUUUCUAAUGAAUUAUAUUAUAUUAUAUAUCAUAGCAUACUAAAAUUAAUAUAAUAUAAGAUAAAAUAAAUUUCCAAAUUAAAACAUUUAAUUAUGAUGUAAAAUUAUAUAUUUUAAAGAACCAAAUCAUAUAAUAUAAUUUGUGCAAUUGUAGUAGUACACGGGUUUAAGAAUCAUAUUUUAUUUUUAAAAAAUUAUAUAAAAUAAUAAUUUUAUAUAAUUCAAUUAUUAAAAAUAUUAUAUAGUAAAAAUAUUUAUACAUCUGAAUUUUAUAUCAAUUAUGCAUAAUAAAAAUAUUCAUACAAUUUUAAAUGAGUUUACUAUUUCAAUAUUAAAACUAUAUAAAUAGAUUUGUGUUAAAAAUACAUAUUCUAAUUGCUUUAUAUAAUUUUGAAAAUGAUAAUAAUAUGUUAAAAAAAAUAUAAGAAGAGAAGUAUAAAAAAUAUGUAUUAGAAAAGUAUAAAAGGAAAUGCAUUAUACUAUAAUUAAUAGCAAAGUUUUUCCAAAUUUGAUAGUCACAAAUAAGUAUAGAAAAAAGUCUAUUUUAAAAGCUUGAUACUUGUCAAUAUAGUUUCCUUUUAAUGAUAUAUAUAGUUGAGAUGUUAUUGUAUCCUCCUAGCCUUUGGGUUGCUUGAUCUAUGAUAUGAUAGACUAUGGUCAAGUCAACCACGCUUCAUGGUUGGGUUAGAGGGUCACGGCUCAUGAACCUAGCAUAAUUGUUCAAGAUGUGGAUUUAAAGAUCUCAUAAUAACAGCCGAUCCCAACAAUAUUGACCCAUAAUCUGACACACAUUGAAGACAGAUAUAUAUAACCUAACUUUUAGCCUCGAAAAGAGACAGAUUACACAUACAUACUUAAAUGCUUUUAACUAGGUCUCUUAACCCUAUAAACCUAUACUAGAAUAGUUAUAAAUAUACAUAUAUUGUACACUUAAACACGCAUACAAGGCUCACAAAUUUAAGUUACUUGAUUUGGCACAUUGCUUCUUUCCAGCCUAGAUAAAUUAUAAAAUUCAAUACCGGACACAAGCAACAAGCUAACCAUUUCUUUUUUUGCAACAAAUUCUCAUAGACUUUGUGGUUCAUGUACCGUAUCUACUUUAACUUAACAAUUAUGGAUUUUCGGAGUACUUUAAGGAUCCAUGUGUGUGAUUAAUUUGUUUAAGUAUAUGUAUAGAUGUAAAACAAUUACUCAUAACAAUAAUUAGCCAAAAGAAACCCAGUCCUUAAGGAGACUUGUUGGGGCAACGUGGCUGUUUCGGUUGUCCCUCUGGAAUGUCAUAGGGACAUGUUCAGUCCUGAAACUUUUUCUUCUUUUUUUUUUUUUAUUUCGUUGGUUUUGGUUUUGGAAUCGCAUGCAUUCGAGUAUGGGAUUCAAAGCAUGUCAAUUUUUUCCAUAAAUGAUUUUAAUUUGGAGAAGAAAAAAAAUAUUAUUUUUUCUAACAAAGUAAUGAACAUGUAUGUAAAAAAAAUGCAGAUUGGCGAUUCUUCUCUGUUUCCUUUGAAAAAAAGUAGAGAACUUAUCCAAUUCCUGAAUUGGCCGGGCAGAAGUAGAAUAACGUGACCUUAGAUUGAAAACUGGAAAGUGGUCCUCAAAAGAAAAUAUCAUUGAGAUAUGUAUUUAAAUAAAUUAACAUUAAGUAUAGAUUUUAUAUUAGUUGAAAUGUCUAUUAGAAUGAAUUAAUUUAAUAAUUUUAGUCUAUUAAAGAGGGAAUACUUUUAGUUGAAAUGAGGCUCUUUACAAUCUCCGGACACUCUGAAAAAAGAAAAGUGAAAAAGUGCCAAUCGACAAAACUAUCUCUAAAUAUGUUAGGACAAAGGAAAAAGGGAGUUGAUAUUUUUAUUUUGAAUAAAUUUCUUGAUUAAGAAUUAUAUUUUUUAAAUAAAAAUAUUAUAAUAUAAUCUUUCAAUCAUAGUUAUUUACAACUAUCAUUCAGAAAAAAAAGAGUUAUUUACAACUACUUUUAUAAUAUUUACUAUUUUAUAUUCUAUUUUUUGUUUCAAAUCAUAAUGCAACUAAUUUAAGGUUUCUUUCUUAAAGUUUUUUUUAAUCUAAUAAGCAGCUUUUACAUUUUUAAUGUCUAAACUCUUUUUUUUUUAAAUUAUAUGCUUCUUCAAAAAUUACUUUUUUAAUAAUUAUUUUUCUUAACGUGUAUUUGAUUUUACUUAUUUUAAAAAGAAUGUCCGCUUAUUUUUGCGUGCUUUAUGAGAGAUUUUUUUAUAAAAAAAAACGUAACUAUUGCUCUAAAAACUAUAUUAUAGACAUGCGCUAAAAUAUCAUAAUAAUACUAAUAAGAACGUGUCAAUAAUUUUAAAUUUAUAUUAUAUGGUUUUAUAUAAUUUUCAAUUAUCUAUACUACCAAACAAUAGAAAACAUUCUAUAUAAAAAAAAAAACAGAAAACAAGUUCUCUUCUAAUUCCCCCCUUCUUUCUCUUAUUUCAAACAAUAUAAGACAUAAAUUUUCUUCUUUCGUCAUAUUUUUUUUCCUAUUGAUUUCAAUCCUCAAUUUUGAAUAAAGUGGUACGGUUUUGUAAUAAUAUAAACAAUAAAUUUCAAAGAAAAUAUUAAAAAUAAAUAAUUAUUUCUCCAAAAAACAUUUGAUGGGUUAUAGACUUAUAGCCUGAAGGAUGGGCUUUAAAUGGAUCAUAGUGAUGGUCCCUUAUUACUAAAUUUCACAUUAGCAUUAGGUUGAGGGGCUCUACUAUUCACACCUCCCAGAACUGCUAUUUAAACCCCCAACUACGCAAAAUAAUUCAUAUAUCCCCACUCCUUCUCCUACCCCGCCUUCAAUCUCAUUUCUCCCCCGGCCCCGUUUUUCCCUUCCGUCAAAAACACUUAUUUCAUUGGAUACUACUAAUCCAUUAUAAAAAUGUACCAUUGGAUACUACUCCAUUUUAUUAUUUACUUUAUAAUAUAAUCAAUUGCACAAACUUACUUCAUUAUGUAUGUUUUGGAGUAAUUUUGGGCUUUGCAUUACAUUCUUGAGCUAAUCUCAUGGGUUGGUCCACAACUUCACAAGUCGGUGACCCAUUUCCAAUCAAUUGAUCACUCAUAUAAUUGUCAUUUUUCGACACUCGUUUCAGCUCAUGAAAAUUAUAGUACCCUGAUAUCCUGUCAUAUUGAUGCAACAAUCUCUCUUGUUGAUCUAACCUGUUACAUUAGCCAUGUGCAGUAACUAACUGUCACAUAAUCCAUCGACCUAAAUUGGCCUAAUGAUAAAACAACUACACUUAUGUUUUAGGCUUACCAAUAAAAAAAAUAUUUGUUAUUGAUUUUUAUAAAGUAAAAAAUGUCACAUAUAUUAACAAAAAGAUUCAACAUAUAACUCUUUUUUUAAUAAAAGUUUUCUUUUUAAAUUUGUUUUAGGUCCUCUUCCUUGUUGGAUCGACCUUGCCAAUGACUUUUCCACCUAAAUGUAGGUAAUAUUUGAAAUCUUUUCACCACUCACUCUCUUCAUUUUACCAUUGACUCGAGCAUAAAGAAUUUGUAGGUAAUCACCACCAUCAUGUUCUUCCAUUGUAUCUCACUCUUCAUUUCAUCUCCUUUGACUAUUAAGUUUAUUCUUAUAAUUAAUAGCUCAUACAACAAUUUUAUAAAAUAAUAAUAUUUGUGUGUUUAUCUUUCUCUAUCAUAUCAUUUGUUUCAUUUGACAUAAUUGUAUUUGUUUUCUCUUAAUUGCAUAAUUUAUUAUAAGAAUUACUAACCCAAACACAGCCAUAAUGUACCAUAAAUAUCUGCCAUCAUUAUACAACCAAACACACACUUUACAUAAAACUUCAGCUAGACAAAGGACUCAAGUGAGAAAACAAGUCAGCCACGUAUAAUUACUAUUAUUUCAUUUAUUUGGGCCUGUCUAGGAAGACCGACAUGGGCUUCAAAGUGGGUGGUACUACGUUUUCUACCAAAACCAACCUAAUCAAUUUAACAUUGAACUGGGACUUGGAUCGCAUGACCCGGUCAGCAGGUAACAGGUACAGUACAUAGAAAAAAUAAUAGUCAGCACAAGCAGGAAACCAAACGUGAAAAGGACAUUUAAUGGGCAGGCACAAAAACACGUGCAAACGUUAGUAACAUUAUCGGUCCACCUAAACAAUUUUAUUUCCUUUAUUACUUAUUUAAAAACGGCAGUAAAUGACUAUUUUAGAUUCUAGUAUCUGAAUGUGCAGGUAAGUGAUAAUUUAGUCAAAAACAAAAAUUGUGAUUUAAUCUUUGCGUAAGAAGUGCAACCUUGACAUCUUAUCAUUAGUUUCAUAUGAUUAUUUUUAAUUAAAUAUAAUAUUUAAGGAUAAUUUGAUAUUAUAUUGUAUUUUUAAUAAUUAAUUUAAUAUUGCUAUAAAAAUUUAAGUAUUAAUUUAUUAUCAAGCUAUACGCAUAGUAUAAUCAUUGUAAUUUUUAUAUGUUAUUAAAUUAAAAUUUAUAUUUUGUAAGGAUUUAAUUAUCAUCCAUAUGACAAAAUGGUCAUUCACCAAUUUAAAAAAAAAAAAAUCUGAGGAAGAAUUAUUUGGCACACGUUAGCCUGCGACACAUGUUGAGAAACGAGUUGGGUGUGUUUGAAACUUGAUGUUAAAGUGUGAAGGGACAAGGAAACAUAGAGUCUCGUUGGUUCAAUACACUUGUGCAAUUUGGCCACUAUGAACACAGGGCUUGCUGCAGGUGCAGCCUUGCUUGCACUCUUGGCUAUCACCUUCUCCUUGUUGAGCCCUCAAACCCUGUUUUCUCCGCCUGAGAUUCCGGGCUCGAAGGACCACCUUCACGCUGCUCGGUUACUCCAUGUCACCGGAGCCGUCGGGCCGGAGAGUCUUGUCUUCGACGCUGACGGCGGAGGGCCCUACACCGGCGUCGCCGAUGGCCGGAUUCUCAAGUGGGAAGGGGAAGAGCGAGGUUGGACUGAAUUUGCUGUCACCAGUUCCAAUAGGUACUUUUUUUUAUAAUUCUUUAUAGUUUAUAAGGUUUUAAUAAACGGUCUUGCCAUCUUGUUUUAGGCGUUUUUUAACUGUUCGUGACCGCAUCCUCUGCAUUUGUUCGUGAUGUCAAUUAACGUGACGAAAUCCCUACGCGACCCGAUAUUUAACACCUUUAUAUUAUUACUAUUACAACCCCUUUUGGUGUUUACGCUUUCUUUAUCAUGUUAUUGUGUUGCUGAGGGUUUAAUUGGUUUUUUAGAAUGAAGGUUUUAUUUUUACGUUAGAGUGUCAACUUUGGAUACCUAAUUUUUGGUGGGUUGGGUUGGGGUGGUUGUAGUUCGUUUGAAUUGGACAAGGAAUUGAGCAUGGAUGAUUGGAUUGAGUCAUUGAGAAUGAUUUGUCUUUACUAUUUUUAACCAUGAGGAUUGCAUAUUUUAAGGUACUAUAGAGAUUAUGAUAGUUACUGCAUUAGGUCUUGAUUGGAUAAUUUUUUUUAUAAGCACUUAUAGGAGGAUCAAAAUAAGCAGGUAAAAUGAAUUGAGCUUCUCCUGUAAGCUGAAAUUAACUUAUGCUCCUUGAUUUUAGCUUAUAAGAGAAACUUAACUCAUUUUAUCUUCUUAUUUCCUAAGUGCUUACAUAUAAGUUUGUUUACUUGGAGCCUUAAGAGUUAGACCAAUUUUCUGAGCUGAUUAUUGUUCCCUUGAAGAAAGGUCCAUUUACCGCGUCAACUAUUAUUGAGUAUUGAACAAAGAAAUGGGGGCAGGUUGUAAAAGUGUGAAGCACCUUUGUUGUAGCAGCAUGCUUUUUCUGAAAUAAUUCAAAUUGAAGGAGUCAUGGAGAAUAAAUAGCUUUCUUCUUUAGACUUUAGCUGUGUUAUUUGUUUUGCAAACCUUCUGAUACUGGAGACUUGCUCUAACACAAUGAUCAUUAUGUCUAUCUUCUAAGUUAUAUGCUUUGAGGGAAAUUUUGCCUGGUAGGUGUUGCAUCUUAGUAAGUGUAAGGUCUUAUUUCAAGAGGCUAGAGGGAAGGUAAAAAACUAAAAACUAAAUGUAUGUGUUCUGCCUUUGGUUCCAUAUGGUGGCCAUAGCAUUGUUUGAGCAUGCAACCUUGGAUACCUAACUCCCUGUCUGUUUCAUCAAUACUCUUUGACUCUUUCAAAUUGCGCAUGAAUGAUUGUUCCUGUUAGUAUUCUGAUGAGACGAUAAUAAAAAAACUUCUGUCAUUUUCCCCCCCAUUAAGUUAUUAUUGAAAUGAAUGUUUUUCUAUCAGAGGUGUGUAGCAUGGGAUUAUGCUGAUAAUUUUGUUUAAAUGUCAGGAUAUUAGAUCUGACAUUGUAACUCAUACUAUUAGGAUACUUUUAAUUUUUCUUAUGAAUUUAAUGAGUUUAGUUGCCUGAUUUUCAAGGUCGGACUGUGUACGCCCAUUUGCACCAGAGUUGGAGCACAUUUGUGGGAGGCCAUUAGGACUAAGAUUUGAUAAGAAAAGUGGAGAUCUGUACAUUGCUGAUGCCUACCUAGGCCUAAAAGUAGUGGGGUCUACAGGGGGUUUGGCCACCGAAGUGGUAACAGAAGUUGAAGGUCAGCCCUUGCAAUUCACCAAUGACAUGGACAUCAGUGAAGAUGCAGACGUGAUAUACUUCACUGAUUCAACCACAAUCUUCCAGAGAAGGUAAGUUCAUCACAAACGCAUAUCUUCCUUUCUAUGGUGGAAGUGUGUUUGCAUUUUCCUAAUUAAUAUGUAAUAGUUCUUAUGAUUGUUCCCUAGCACUUCAGUGUAUGAAAAAUGAAAUUGAUGGAAAAACAAAAUAUUCCCUUAUUCAUAUCCUGGUUUGGAAUGUUCAACCCUGUGGUAUGUAGGGGAAUAUAAACUGAAGUAUGAGUCAAUUUUAUCUAACAAAGUAAUCACUUGUUCUGUUGUUCAACGAAAAUAAUAUUUGUGGAAUUUGCAUUUUUCCCUCAAAAUUUAUGUAGAUAUGUUUUCUGUUCUGAUUUCCAGCAUAAUAUUUUUGACAUGUAUAUUUUUGAGGGCAUACUUCUAUAUGAGAACUAUAAAAUUUAAUUACUGAUAGAAAAAAUUUAAUUUGUGUAGAAUUUUUAAUCUAAAUUUUGGCCACUUUUGUUUGCAGGCAAUUUAUGCUUGUACUCCUUGGUGGAGACAAGACCGGCCGGUUAAUGAAAUACCACAAGUCAACAAAAGAAGUGACGAUCUUAUUACGUGACCUUGCUUUUCCCAAUGGUGUUGCCUUAAGCAAAGACGGCUCAUUUGUUCUGGUAGCAGAAACCGCUACUUGCAGGAUCUUGCAGCUUUGGCUUGGUGGACCUAAGGCUGGCCAAGUGGAUACAUUUGCGGUUCUGCCUGGUUUCCCAGACAAUAUUAGAAGAAAUUCAGAAGGGCAUUUCUGGGUGGCUCUGCAUGCAAAGAGAAGCCCUUUCGCGAAGUGGGUUUCUUCCAAUCCUUGGGUGGGAAAGGCAUUGCUUAAGAUUGGAUUUAAUUUCAAGCAGCUGCACACAUCAUUUGCAGGGUGGAAGCCUCAUGCUGCUGCUGUAAAGCUGAGUGAUAAAGGAGAGAUAUUAGAAGUCUUGGAAGAUUGUGAUGGGAAGACCUUGAAGUUCAUCAGUGAAGUGGAAGAGAAAGAUGGGAAGCUUUGGAUUGCAUCAGUGUUGAUGCCUUUCAUUGGCAUUUAUGGUUUAUAAGAGUGUAUCAUGGAUGACUAGAUGGUACUGUUUUGGAUCACCUUUUCCAAAUAAGAUGUAGUUAUUGCGUAUGCAGAUUAUGUAGAAUUGUGAAUUGCUUUGAGUGGUUGAUGAGGCUAGUUUUUACUGUGUUCAUUAUUAAUAAAACACUACGUUAAACUUAAUGGACAGAUGCACAAAACAGUUUUGCAAAAUUCUUUCUAAUCUUUUUUGCCAAGUGGUGGAUAUAUUACACUUGCUAGAUGAAUGCACUUCAAUGAAAUAGAAGAGAGGACUAAGCAUAAUCAAAUACAGUACCUUAAGAUGGUAACUAGAGGGGAAUAGGCAUUGUCGUGACUGUUUUUCAGUAUUUCUGAAUAAAAGAAUAAAAAAUGAGGAGGAGAUUAAUAAGCACCAUGAUUGACAAGUAGUUUCUUUUUAAGUUGAAUAGGAUGCACUAGUUAAUGUGAAUCCUCUAAAACCUAUUCUUUAUUAUUAUGGAUAAAAAAAUUAUAAAUAUAUAUAUAUAUAUAUAUAUAUAUAUAUAUAUAUAUUUAUUAGAAUAAAAUAAAUCAAGAUAGGAUAAUAUUCUUAAAAUAACAAAUGAUUUCAAAUUGAAAAACAAAAUUUGAAAUCUUAGGAAUAUAUUGGAUUAGGAUUUUAAAAUAUUAUUUUAGCAUAAAAAAAGUUUUUGGUGAAUUUUAAAGAUUAUGUAAAAGUAUUAUGACUUAUCAAAUUUCUUUACAAGACUUUUAUGAUAGUUUGUAUUUUAAUGGAUUUAUUUCAUGAAAAUUUAAAGAAUUUGAAAAGACUUUAUAAAUUUAUAAGAUUUAAAAGGAUUUGUGAAUUUUUAAAAAUACAUUCAAAAUGACAAGAGUUGGUGAAAAAAAUGAUAAUAGAUGAUAAGGUUUGGGUAAAAAAAGUAAAAUCAAUAUAAUUUUUUUAAUCUUUUAAUAACUAUAUUGAUUCUAACUUUAUGUUCUCCGAUACUAACAUUUCUUACAAUAGCAUUUUCUCAUUUUCACUUAUGAAUUUGAACAAUAGAAUAGUGAGAGCAAUGAGAGUGAAAAAUUGGUAGGAGAGUUACUAAGUUAUGCGAUAACAAAAUUAAGAAUGACGGUCACAAAAAUAUUAUGUCGAACAAGUGAUGAACAUAAUUAAUAUAAGAAAAAUAUGAUUAGUUUUAACACAUAAGACAAACAUUAAUUUAAUUUAGAAAAUAAAGAGAAAAGUGAAGAGGGGAGAAUAUAUUUGACAUUUUUUAUUUCAAAAGGACAUGAAAAAUAUAUAACACACACAUCUUGAAGAAUAUUAAAGAGAGAAGAAAGUAUGUGUGAUGAAAGAAAAGAAAGUCAAGUAACCAAUAGGAAAAAAAAUCUAGCAAAAUCCUUAAAGAUUUUGGUGAGAUUAUUUGAUAGAUGAUUUAUAUUCAAAAGUCAAAUAAAAUUCUUCUUAAAAAACAAUCAAUCAAAAUUUAUAUUUUUUUAAUACCAAAAAGCUUUUUAUAAGUUAUAAAAAAUUCUAAUUAAAUAUAAUUGGAUUUUGUUGUCUUCCUUACAAAAUCUUAAAAGUUUUAAUUGAAUAUCACAAAACUUAUUUAUACUAUUUAAAAAUCAUAAUUAAAUAUUACAAGAUUUUUUUAUAUUUUUUUUAAAUCAUUUAAAAUCUUAAUUUAAUACACCUCUUUUAUAAUUUUUUUAAAAUCAUUUAAAGUCUUAAUCGAAUACACCUCUUAAAAUUAUUCCACUUUACACCACAUAGGCUUUGGUCAAAUGACAGAUAUAGAACUAUAGAAGAAUGAAGGUUUAGGCUUGAGAGAUCCCACAAACUAGGGUAGGAUGACCAAAACUUGGGAGAAGUUAGAAAUAAGAGUGGCUACCAUAUAAUUGGAUAAAUUUUUAGAUUCACUAUUCCUCUCUAUGGAUAAAUUAGAAUAACGUUUUUUUUAAAAUAAAAUCUUUGACAAGAGUGUUAGGAAAAAUAUUUUUUUUAUAAAAUACCCUCAAUUAUGAAUUAGUUUUCUAAGUUCAAAAAAUAAUAGGUGGAACAUAUUAAUCUUUAAGCUAUUUGAGAGUUUAACUUUGUCUUGUAUGAAGAUAAUUUUGAGAAUCUUACUUUGUUUUUUUUUUACCUUCAUAACCAAUAAAAAUUAAAGCCACAAAUAUAAUACUAAUAAAAGAGAUUAAAAGAAUUAAAGUAAAUAAAAACAUUUGAAAAAAAGAGAUUGUCUUAUUAACGUUAAAGGUAAUUUUGAAAAAAAAUAUAAAAUUAAAUAAAUUUAAUACUAUUAAUUAAAUUAACUAUUUUUAAUUAUAAUAAGUAAUUAAUUGAGUCUGGAUGAGAACCAAUAGUUAGAAUAUAAAAAAUGCUAUAGUUGUCUGUUUGGCGUACAGCUUAUUGGUGAGGAUGGGAAAGGAAAUAAAAUACCAUAGUUUUAAUACUUUUGGAAGACAGGGUGGGGCCAAAUUAUCGUUUUCAGCUUUCUCUUCCUUAAUUUAAUUGAUUUGUCAUGUUAUCAGUUUCUUGCCUGGUUGGAUCAGAUGAUUGAGGUCAAUGCCAAAUUGAAACAUAAUUCCAUUCCAUGAAUAGUUCAGUAAUUCAUAAACCUAUUUUUUUUUAAUUUCCUGAUUUAUCAGGAAAAUAAAUAAAAUUUAAUCCAAAAUUAUUUUCAUCAAAGAUUAAUUUUAGAUAAUAUUCAAUUUUAACUUUAAUAUAUUAAUUACUUGUGUUUAAUUACUUUAUUUUCACAAUUUCAUAAUCUAUUGUGAAAACAAGUAGGUUAAAUUUUUAAUUUUUUAGUUAAAAUUCUAAUCAAACAUGAUUACUAGCUAACAAUACCAACUGCAUACUAUUAAUCAGUUUAGAAACAUAAUUAAUAUUUUCUUUUUUGUAUUUAUACUCUUAAGUUCAGGAACGGAGCCAAACGGAAAAAUUAAAAGAGGUUAAUUAUAAAAAUUAAAGACUUAAUUGUAUUUUUUGUUUUUUAUUAUGUCAUUUCACAAAUUUACUCUCCUUAUUUUAAGCAUUUUUUAUAUUUAUAACUAUUUUAAUUGUGUUACAAAUUUAUUUUAGUAGCCUUUGACUUAUAAUGUUUUACUAAUUUGAUCAAACAAAUCAUAUUAAUUAUCAUGCAUGUUGAAUAAAAUCAUUUAAUUAUAAUGUAAAAUAAUUUUUAAUUUGUCAUAAGUUUUUAUCUCCACUCAUUUAUAAUAUCUAUAUAAAAUCAAUUCUUAAUUUUAUAUUAAUACAAGAUAAUAAAAUAUCUUGUUCUUUAAUGACUAAUUAUUUAUUUUAUUUAAUAUUUAGUUGGUUCAUUAAAUAUCACUUUAGACAUCUCAUCAAUUUUUUUAAUCCAAAUUAUGAAUAAAAAUAGCAUAAUAAUCAAAUUAACUUAUUAACACACUAUUAGUGCUGAAGUUUAAUUAAAACAUAUUAUUAUAAAAAUUAAAAAAUAGGAGUUUAAUUUCUUUGCAAUGAUAUUGUAAAAUAAGCCAAUAGAAAAUUAAAUUUAAUGAUCAUGCAUUAUUAUUGUAAAAUAAGUUUGUAUUCUCAUUUAAUCACAAAAUAUUCGAUGAUAUGAUUUUUUAAAAUAGUCAUAAUAAAUAUCAAUAAAUUUUUCAUAUAUAUAUUGAUGAUGAUAUAAAAUUGUUUUGUAUAUCAAUGCAUAACUUAUUUUUGCUAUAAAAUUAGGUUAAAUUAUUUUUUGUUCAUCCAAUUUAUUUUUUAGAUUCAAUUUGGUUCUACCAUCUAAAUUAGGUCAAUGAAGUUAAAAAAUCGCAUUUUAUUUAAUUUAAAAAUAAUUUAACUUAAACACCACUCAGUGGUUUUAAUUUAUCACAAAACACAUAUUUUCAAACACUAUGAAUUUAAUCUACACGAAAUGAUUAAAUUGAAUCAAUUUUAAAAAUUUAAAAAUAAAAUUGAUUAAAAAAAAUGAAAAGACUUAAUCAAACUUAAAUAAUAAACUAAAGGACCAAAACACAAACUUAACCAUAAAAUUAUAAUAAAUUUAUAAAAAUUAAUGAACUUAUCAAUAAUAAACAGUUUUUUAUUUUUUUUUUAAAGAAGGACGAUAGAAAAAUUCUUUACGCUCUCAAUAUAUAGUUAUUUUUCUAAAAAAUAGUUUAUCAAAUUUAUCGGGUUGAUUCAAGUUGAAAAAAAGAUAAACACUAAAAUGGAGUCGAGUAUAAUUAAAUUUUAAUUUGUUUAAUGCAUAGUUAUAUCCAAAGACUUUAUUCAUUAAUUUAUUCAAUCAUAAAAUAGUAAAUAAAAAAACAAAUCGUAGAAGAGUAAUGCUCGGAGAGGAUUCGGCGACUUUGUGAUUGAUUGUGACGCCAAACCAAAGCCACCGUACCGUGACUUUCCUAUUUUUAGGUCAUUGAGUUAAUUCUUGAUAAUCUAAAUUUUGUCAUUUGUUUUAAAAUAUAUCAUUAAUUUAAUUUAAAAUAAUAAAAUAUUAUUAAGUGUAUAGAUUAAUUAACAUAAAAUUAUUUUUAUUUUAACUAAUAAUCGCGAAUAAUGUUCAGUUUGUCAAAAAAACUGACUGUUAAUAAAUUGUCAGAAAUUUUCCAGCAAGAUUCUUUUUAGUUUAAGUCUUUAAGAGUUGUCACAAAAUUUUUGACGAUUUUUUUAUCCACUUCUUCAAUAUCUUUAAUGAGAAAUAAUUUUACUUUAAUUAGAUAAAAUUUCUAAAAAUGAUAAAAUGUUUCUGUACAUAUCAUUAGUUAAAGUUAAACUGAAAUAAUUUUAUAUUAAUUAAUCUACAAGUUCAAUAAUAUUUUUGUAUGGCACACAUUACUUUUGAUUUCAAACACUUAACAAACAUCUCUUACUUCCCUCUACCUAUCAAACAUUUUCCAUCAUAAAAAUAAUGUGGUAAAUUAUUUAUUAUGCAUCUGAAUUUAAUGUUAGUUUACAUGAAAUCCUCGGAUAGGUCAGAAUCCGCAGCUUAGCGCAGGCAUUGAUAUUGCGCUAUUGCCAUUAGUGGCACCAAACCAAACAAACAACAAUUCUCGCCACUUAUCCUUCUCCUCUCCUCUCUCUCUCUCUAAUAUCGACCAUGAGGCGCCAGCAGCUACACUUCGCGGCAGUUGUCGCGGCGAUUGUCGUCACCGCUUGGGUUGCGCACAUGCGCGGCGGGGUUGGCCAAUCGGAGGCCAAGGGUUGGCAGUUCGAGGCCGUUCCGAUUGACGGCGCCGUCGGACCGGAGAGCUUCUCCUUCGAUCCUCGCGGCGAAGGCCCUUACACCGGCGUUUCUGACGGUAGAAUCAUCAAAUGGCACCAAACGCAGAAUCGUUGGCUCAACUUUUCCGCUAUUGCUUCUUCUUCACACUGGUGCGCCUUCUCUCUCUUUCUCUCUCUUCAUUUCAAAAAUUGGAAACCUACUGGUGAAGUUGAUUGCCUGCCUUAUUUAAACUUGUAAACCUACUGGUGUGGACUCAUGGUUAUAUUUAAACACAGGCCAAAAUAACUAAACAUUCAAAUUACGUCAUACUUUGAAACAUAUUAAAUCAAACCUUUGAAAAUUACUUCUAUUACUAGCUAACAAAUCAAUCAAUAAAUAAAUAAGACCAAAUUCACAUGUUAUAACUAAGGGAUCUAAUUUAAUUGGUUAAAUAAAAUGUAUGAGUGUAAUUUUGUAAAUCUUGUUUAAUUCUUAUGGAUUAAAAAAAUUCAGAUGUUGUAAUUAAGAGUUGGUUCAUAUUGAGGGCUUCUAAAGACGCAUUUGUUUCUAUAAGCACGAUAGGAAUGCAGAGUUGGUGAAUGUUUCUAGUUUUUAUGAGUGACAAAUUGACAUACCAGAUGUUCAAACUUUUGUUUCUCCAAGCAUCAUAGGAAUGCAGGUUGCUGAAUCUUUUUUAUCUUUUGAGUGACAAAUUGACAUUCUAGUUGUUCAAACUAUUUUAUUUCCCUUCUUGUGCGAGGGGAGACGCCUAAGACCACUUUUCCUUUUCAUCAGAGUCUGACUUUUUAAAUUUUUUUUGCUUCUAAUUAAUCGAUGACGAUAUAUCCUCUCAAAACAAAAACUUUUUCCCUUCAAAAGUUGGAUAAUACUAAAAUUAUAUAUAGCCUAAGAAGUAAGAAUAGAUACAGUGCAUAGCCUUAGGGUGAUUUAGCCUUUUAUCAUACGACUGGCAAUAUUUGCUAUCAUUUCUUAUUCAUCAUAUUAAAAGUUGAGGUUGAAUAAUUUUUUUAUCAAUUAAAUAUGAAUAUAUUAAAACUUUAAUUAUUAUAUAUAUACAGUGACGAAUCCAAGACCCUAAGUCAGUGGGAUAAAUUAUAAAAAAUAAAAUUAAUGUAUUCAAUUAUAUAAAUAUAGAUAAAAUAAAAUACAAAAAUAUAAAAUUUUAUUUAUAAAUUUAAUGAAUUUUAAAAAAUGAGGGGGUGUAAGUGCACCCCUUGGAGCCAACUUAGAUCCACCACUGUAUAUAUACAUGAAUUGCAUAUAUAAGAAAUUAAUGUAUUUUUACAUCAUUUUUAUAUUAUCAAUAAGUUAAUCAAUUAAUUUUAUUAUACAUUUUCAAUUCAAUUAACUAACUUAAAGGCUUAUAAUUUUCGCCUUUAUCUUUACAUAUUACAUUAAUGAGUAUUCAUAAAAAAAUAUCACAACGUAUUUUAUAAAUUACAUUAAAUUUUAAAUAAUUAAUUAAUAUCACAUAAAGUCUUAAAAAAUCUUUAUACGCAACUAAUAAGUGUUAAUAUAUGAAAUAGAAAGUGUUAAUAUAUGAUUUUUAUUUUACAUAUCUUGGGGAGUUGCAAACAUUUGGCUUACAAGUUUCUAAAUUAGUUAUUUUGUGUUAGAUUUGAAUUUUGUUUAAGCUAUUUUGUUUGUUACAAGCACUAUACAAUUAUAUUAUAUAUUUAAAUAUUUAUCAUGUUAAGUUUAAAUUUAGUUAAAUAUUUUACUUGUUAUUUUUAUUACUAAUUAAGAUAUGAAAUGAUAUUUUUAUUUAAUUAAAAUGAAAAUAAUGGGAUUAAAUAUAAUAUUUAGGUACCUAGCUAAAGCGUAUAAAGAUGAACACCAUAAUUAAUAUCCGUAUGAAUACAAAUUUAGGAAUGAGUUUUUUGGCUACACAAAUACAGUAUAUAAAAAGUAAGUAUUAAAAUAUCUCACCUAAACUUUUAUUCAUUAUGGUCCAAAUUGGUGAAAAAUAAAAAAGGUAUAAUUGCAAUCACUUAAUGCAACCUAAACUUUUUAUUCAUUAUAGUCGAUAUUAGAGAGAGAAAAAAAACAGGAGAAAUUCCAAUCACUUAAUACAACUUUUAAGUUUAGAAGAAAAAAUGGAAAGGUUAUAGACUUGUAGUAUUGCGUACCACAACCGCAUAUUGAUGUUUAGGAGUGGAACUGUGAAUGCUUGGUCGAGAAAUUUUGGUUUGGUGAUGAAAAGAUAAAGGCCAAAAAUUAACGGAAUACUAUUCUUUUACUACCUGUCGAAGAUACGGUGGGGCCAAAUUAAAACUUCUUUGUUUUCUCUUCAUUCGUCGUCCUUUCUUCCUAGGGUUAAUAAAUGAUAGGUGUUUCGGGAUUUUUUCUUUCUUUCAAAUUCUGCUUUACUAUUAAAAGCUUAAGCAAACACAAUAGAGAUAUUUUAAAAUUCGAAAUGUGAGAAUUCAUUCUUAUAUACGUAUGAAAUCCAUAUGAAAUGUCAAAAAUAUAAAUUCAAAACAAAACUUAGAUAUUUAUAUUGGUAAUAAAAGGUUAUAUAAGUUACCAAAUAAUUAAAAUAUAUUUUGUUUGAUACUUUUUACACAGAUCCUAAAUUUAAAUUUUAUUGCUGUGCUUUCCUAUUGAAAAACUCACUACUGUUAACUUGCGGUGUGUUUGGUUCGUAUUUCCCCAAUUUAUAUGCGAGUAAUUAACGUGAAAAUACAACUUAUACAAAGAACUGAAAGAAAUAAGUAUUUUAUUGUAGACGUGCCUUUCGACAUGCAUCUUCCAUGAUUUGUUGUACAAAACACGAUAUACAAGAUAGAAAAUUUAAGUAUUUUAGAAAAUUUGCAUCCAUUGGAGGAUAGGAAAGAGAAGAGAGAGAAGUGUGGAAUAAGAUAAAUGAUGAUCUGAUGAAAAAAAAAAUAGAAAACAAAUUUAAAUAGGGUUUCAAAAACUAGUAUGGAAAGAAAUUAUUUUAUGAUAGAAUGAGUAGUUGUAUAACUCAAGGAAAAAAAAAAAACAAGAACCCAUUAUCAAACAACAUGUGUCGUAAUUAUGGGAAGGUUGAUAAGGUUGUAUUUUUGGCAGGGAUGAAGAGUGUGGAGGACCAUGUGAUGAGCAUUCCAAGAAAGAGCACGUGUGUGGGCGUCCACUAGGCUUGUGCUUUAGUACACUAUCGAAUGAUCUUUACAUUGCUGAUUCUUACAAGGGCUUAGUUGUUGUUGGUCCCCAUGGUGGCACUACUAGAAGACUCGUAUCAACAAUAGAAGGUGAACCCUUGGCUUUUACUAACGGUUUGGAUGUUGACCAACGAACUGGAGCAGUGUACUUCACCAGUAGUAGUUCAAAAUAUCCGAGGAGGUAAAUAAUUCUCAAUAAAAAAUAAUACUCAUGUUCUCAACUAGUAAUUAAUACCAAAGUCCCUAAUUAUGUAUUGUUUGCAUGCGCACUUCAUAUUCUAUAAUUAAAUUAUAAUAGUAUCUUUUAUGACCCAUCCUCCAUAUAGCUAAAUUAUUAAUUAAUUGGUGGAUUUAGAAAAUUAAUGGAUGUCUAUCAUGAAAAUUCAAGCCACUAAUUAUUAUUAGUGAUCAUCCAUGUGCAACUCCAAAAGUGCACAUGAGCACUAGCAUAUUUAAAUGAAAUCCAAAAGUUCGAACAACCUUCUUUUGCAUUUUCCUUUUCUCAUUGUUGAAUCAUUUUAUUCCAUAUUAAAGUGAAUUUUUAAUCAAAGACUUUUGGAUCCUUAUUUUUACAUUAAAAAAUGGGACUAAAAGCAAUUGAUGCCUCUAUCUUUAUCUUUUUCUUUUGGUCUCACAGUUAGACAUUAAUAAAUUUUCCCUUUAAGAUUUUGAUGAUAUUUGUCAUAUGCAAAAUGCAGGAAUUACAUGUCGUUGAUCCUAAGCAGAGAUAAGACGGGGAUGCUAAUGAAAUAUGAGCCACAAAGUGAACAAGUUAGCGUUCUCCUAAAGAAUCUCUCCUAUGCAAAUGGAGUAGCAUUAAGCAAAGAUGGUGAAUAUAUCCUAAUAAUUGAGACCACAACUUGUAGAGUAUUAAGGUAUUGGCUAGAAACACCAAAAACUGGAACCUUGGAAGUCUUUGCUGAUCUACCAGGUUUCCCAGACAACAUCAAACGGAGUCCAAGAGGAGGAUUUUGGGUGGGAAUUUACUCAAGAAGAGAAAAAAUUAUCCAAUGGAUUCUAUCAUAUCCUUGGAUUGGAAAAGUUUUGCUUAGGCUUCCUUUGGACAUCCCAAAAGCUUAUUCAUAUUUGGCUAAGCUAAAAAGGAGUAAUGGAAUGGCAAUUAGACUAAGUGAGCAGGGUGAUAUAUUAGAAAUUGUUAACGAAAAAAAUGGGAGCAUAGGGAGGUCUAUUAGUGAAGUGGAGGAAAGAGAUGGGAUAUUAUGGGUGGGAUCCAUAGAUGCACCUUUUGUUGGUAAGUAUAAUAUUCAUGUUGUAGAAGGGCAAGUCAAACGGAUUUGAAGAUUUUUUUAUAUAUAAAUUUUAGUGUUUUUCACUUUUUUGUUUCUUGAUUGCAUAGUAAAAAGGAAAUGGAUGCGGGCUUUGGCUAUCAUAUUAUAUAUGUGAAAAAAAAUCUUGCAUCAUUGUGAAGUUCUCCAUAUAUUGCGGAAGUAAAAUACAGGUAAGGACACUGUCGAGUCUUCCAAUGAAAUUGUUACGAAUUCUAAUAGAAAUUGUAUCAAAAUUAUAGAAAAAGAAAUAAUUUUCUAGUGAAUGCUAAUUCAAGUACUUGUGAUGAAUAUGUACAUUAGUGAAAAAACAUGUUUAUAUGAUGGUUAUUUUAAACAUAUAUUUUUGAUUUUGAGAUCGUUGUAACGAAUGUUGUAAAAACGUUGGAGUCUACGACAACGAUUCACAAGAUCGUCUUAGAAUAGUAUACAUUCUAAGACGGUCUCCAAGACAAACCCAUCUUAGAAUGUACGUCAUUCUAAGACGGUCUUGACGCUAAAUUCUUAGAAUAUCUUAUAUUCUAAGACAGUCUUGCGGCAUGAACGAUCUUAGAAUGUACGUCAUUCUAAGACGAUUCUAAAGCUGAGACCUUCUUAGCAUGAUCUACAUUCUAAUGUGUAGCUUAUUGAUACACAUACUCGUAAUAAUGAAGGUGUAAGCAAAUGUUAUUGGAUUUUGAUAAGGUAUACACCCUUACCUUUUUAGUACCAAAAGCAUGUGGAUGUGCAUAUAUUGUUUUUUAGUUUCAUACAUAUGUUGCAAGUAGAGAUCAACUUACACCAAUUUAAAAUAUUAUUUUUGGUGUAAGUUGAUCUCCCAUGCCACGCACACAUCAAAAGUAAUUAUAUGAAUAUAACAUUAAUACGGAAUAAAUCAAUUUAUUUAAUGAAGUUCUUUUUUAUUGAGAUAACUAAACAAAAUUAGAUAAUAGGCAAACAUCUCAUCUCAACCAAACUACAUUUGUUAGAGUUAAUUUCCACUGGUACUAAUACCUUCCGGUAGCCCCAUCUUAGGCCAUUAGUUAUAGCCCACAAUAGUACUGUGGAGUUCUAGAUAAUGCUACACCUAACUUUUCAUAUUUAAAAUAAUAUAAAUUUUAGACCUCAAUCUUAAUUCUUAUGAAAUUACAUCUAGUUUUAUUUUUCUUUUUAUAAAUUGAUGCAUAUUUUAUUUUUAUAAAUCCAUGUGACUGUUUUCAUAGCAUGACAUAUUUUAUAAGUUUAUAUUUAAAAUUUUGACCAGUAAAAAAUGGAUAAAACAAAUAGAUCUAAAUAUAGAUUAAUAUUUUUUAUGAAUAAUAUAUUUUUAAAACUUAAAAUUCAAAUAUUUUAAUUAUAUAUAUAUAUUAAAAUUAAAAUUUAAUUAAAAUAAGAUUAAAUAAUAAUUUCAUCAGAGCGUGACACAUGUACUGACAAUUUCUGUCAAUAAUUAUGUUUUAUAUAAUACAUAGAUAGAUUUAAAUAAUUGUGUAGUUGAAAAAGAAAAAUAAAAUAAUAAGUUAUAUUAGAUUAAUAUUUAGAUAUAAUUUUUUUCUUAAGCCUCAUAAUUUUUGGACACAACCUUAGAAAGAUGAUAAAUAUACAAUUAAUGUAUAUUUAAAAGCUAUUUUUCAUGAGUUUUGUAUUAGUCACAGGAAAUCAAUUAGAAAAACAAUCUAAAUAUAAGCAAUUUUGUAUGAUUCAUAUCCUUGAUACUUUUGUUGAAAAUUGCAUGAUUUCACUUGGAUAUUUGAGUUUGUCAUUGUAGGAAACAUGAUCAAGAAAGUAUGAUAUUUAUUUUAGGAUAAUUUUUUUUAUAUAAAUGUGACAUUUAUUUUGAGUGGGAGAUAUAAUUUUACACCUAGAUAAAUUUUAGAUGUGGGUGUAGUAAAGAUCAAGAAAAGAUGUGAACUUUUUAUUUUAAAAGAAAAGAAAAGUCAAACAAAUGGAUUAGAUUUUUGGAAUGAAUGAAAAUUUAUUUUCUUUUGAAGGUUAACAAAUGAAUGAUAAUUAACGAAUAUUUUUUGCAUUAUUAGCCAUGAAUUAAAAGAGAUAAUGCAUUUAAAAUAGAAAAAAUAAUCAUUUUCUCUUAUAUUUGAUUAUAGAUAUUUUCCUAAAAAAAUUUAACACGAGUUAAUGAAUAAUUAAGCUAUUCUUGAAUAAGUACAUUUCAAUUACUAAAAAGUUUUAACUUAAUUAAUUAAAUAAAAAUACAUGAGUUAUUAUAAAUUUUUUAUACCGUUUUUAUUCUUACAUAUAUAAAAAAAACACUCUAAUUGAAUAGAUACCAGUGAAUCAAAUAAGUGAUAUGAUAAAUACUAAAGGAAAAUGAGUGGACAUAAAGGGUUUAACUCGCGGCUUCUGUGCCCAAAUCAAUAGACUUAGUGGCCCGUAAGGAUGUGAUGUGAAGAAACUAGAAAGUACUGGUUAAUUACAUCUUAGAUUGAAUAUUUAGUUCUAUCAAUUUCUAGUUCUUUUCAAGAGUAAGGACAUGAAUCAAUUUAAUUCUGAAAUUAUUAGCUCUGGCAUGGAUGAUUUGAUAGGACCAGAUAAGCGAAUUAGUGAACGUUUGAGUAAAUUAGCGUGAAUAGAUUAUAAUUAACUAUUGUUAUAUAUCAAUAAUUUUCAAAAUAAAAAAUCUACAAUUGUAAGCAGUUUUUUUAGGAUAUCCUCACACCUUUUUGGGUGAGAAUAAUAUUUUCGAAGAGUUUAGGCUCUCCUUAAUUAUAAGUAGUAAUCCGAACUCAAACUCUCAUAGAUUCUCUUAAAAAUACAGUUUGAUUAUCAUUUUGUAUUUGCUCUUGAUUUAUAAAUACUUAUUUUUUGGUCCUAGGUCAGAAUUUAUGAGUCUCCCUCAAUUCAUAAUGUUAGAAAUUAAUUUUAUUUAUGAUAUGUGAUUGUUGUUGACAUAACAUUUUUUUUAUUAACGGUAAAAAUCAAAUAUAAAUUUUUUGGUUAAAUAAAUUAUUCUCUCAUAUAUGAAUUCAAUGAAAAUUUUCAUAAACAUUUGGUUAAUCCUAUACAUGCCUUGUAUUGAAAUUUGAAAUAACAUAGUCUCUCUUAUGUCGGAUAUUUUUGUGUCGAGAAAUAUAUAAGAAUUAGACGUGGCUUAUUCAUGCAUAACAUCAGACCCAUUUUUUCCUUAAGAGUGGUUUCAAAAAGCUAUAAGGAUAACAAAUGAUUGGGCUAACACAAGUCUAAACAAAACAACAAUACACUAAAACUAGAUAUUGGCUCAAAUAUGUUGGACAUUCCUGAAAUAUUCAAACUUCGCAACUGAUUCUUAAUUUUUUUUUUUUUUCAUUGGAUCCUUGAAACUUCAAAAGUUUUGUGGGAGAUCCCUAUCGUUAGUUUAUGUCCAAAACGUAAUAAUGUGUUCGUUAGUUGGACACGUCACUAAUACAUAUGCAAAGUCACAUCAAAGGUAUCAAUGAUAUGACGUGAAACUUGAUUUUUUUUACUUUUAUAUUUAAUUUAAAUAAAAAUUGUCUGCACCCAUUUUUCUUUUUCCUUCUUCCCCUCUUCUCUUCUUUCCUCGUUCUUCCUCCUUCUCCGGCAAUCCCAAAACCCAAAAUACCACCUUCGUCCAAGCUAACCCCUCCUUUGUGAAAGUCAAUCCCAACCACUCAACCACAAGAGCUUAAAACCCAAACUCUACACAAUUCAAAUCCAAAAUCCAACAUCACCACCACCAAUAGGAUUUCUGCAUGUAAUUCUCACAUGUUAAAUCGCACCCAAUCCAAAUUUGAACAUGCAUCUUUGGAGCCCAAUCCUACACCUCUAACCAUGGGUUCACCUAGCAUCAGUGGCAGCACUCCAUUGAAGUGUUCAAGGACUUAGCGGUGGCAUCCGAGUCAGCGAUGGAAGCCGCUGCAAAAAGACAGAGAUGAAGGUCGCACGAUGGUUUGGGUCGUGUGGUGGUUUGGUGAAGGUCGUAUGGGUAACGUGAGGGUGAGUGGGGCAACAUUGAUGGUAGUCUGGCAUGGUAGAUCUGGGUGGUAGUGGUGUUUGGGUCUUGGCUGCACAAAGUUCUAGUGGUGCAUCGGGUGAAAGUUGUUUGGGUGAUGGAUUGGUGCAAGGAGGGAAAAGAAAGGGUUAGUGGAAAUUGAGUUUGGGUUUUGGAUUUGGGAACAAAAUUGGGAGAGAAAGGAGAGGGAGGAGGCGACAAAGAAUUCGUACAUGGAGGAGGGGCGAGCGGAGAACUCAUCGAGGAAGGGGGAGGAGGUGGGGAGGGAAGAGAGUGCCAGUGGAGUCGUGGAAAGGGGGGGGGGGGGAGGUGAGGAAGCCAAUGAUGGUGUCAACGGUGUAUUUCACACCCGUUUGGACAUCGACGUGUAGUUCAUGUGUUUGGACGUUUGACAUGACUUCAUACGUGUAUCACUGACGUGCCCAACUAAUAGACAUGUCAUCAUAUUUUGGACGGAGACUAACGACAAAAAUCUCCUACAAAACUUUUGAAGUUUUAGGGACCCAAUGAGAAAUAAAAUAUUUUCAAGGAUCUGUUGCAAAAUUCAGAUAUAUUUCAAGAAUCUUCAACAUAUUUAAGCCUAAAGAAAAAUAUGCAUUGUGAGACGAAACUAAGAAUCAAAGAGCUAUAGUUGAAGCAAAUAUUGAAGUUUCACUCAAUGAAAGGACCAAGAGUGAAAAGAAUGAAAGGAAGAGAAAAAGGAAGAGAAAGUGAGAUGAUUUUUUAGUUGUUUAAUAUGAGAAAAGUUAAACAAAAUAUUUCAAAUCUCAUAAAAUUAUAAAAUAUAAGAAAAUCAACUUAUUUAAUUAUUUUUUAUAUAGUUAGUAGGUGUAGGGAUAAGAUGAAUUGGAUAUUACAUUAUCCAAUGUUGUCCUCAUAAAAAUCUCCAAUUAUUUUACUCAAGUCAUACUCAAACUCACUUACAACUUACAAGCAAAUUUAGUUAGUAUACUACUAGCUAAGAUUGCGCUUGAUUGAUUACAUCUUUUAGGUUGUGUGUGAGAAAUUUUUUAAACUAAUCUAUAAAUUUUAAUAAACGUGUUUGCUUGUAGUAUACUUACUAAAGAUGCAAUUGAUCAAACACAACCUUACCCAAUUACUAACUAAAUUUGCUUAGUAAAUUACAAACUUGUUUAGUAAAUUUCAAAUUUAUCUUACUAAUUAAUAACAAUUUUUUUCUCUAGAUCAUAGGUAUCCUAUACCGAAGAUAAUUUUGGUCAAGAUGGAUAGAAUUACUAUGAGUAAUAAAGGUUUUUCUCUAAGUAUUUAACGCAAAUGCAUACUUAGAACUUGAACUCAAAACCUUUGAUUAAGCUGGAACAAUCUUAUAUCAAUUGAUUCAUGCGAUUAGUGAUACCCAUAACAGUUUUUAAUCACUCUUUGAAAUAGCAUUUGAAAUUAUUAUUAUUAUUAUUAUUAUCAUUAUUAUCAUCAUCUUCUUCAAUACUUUAAUAAAAUUUAUCAUUUAUAGCUUCAUUUAAUAUUACACUAUAUAUAUUUUUUCUUUCCACUUUUUUUUUAAUGUAUAAUGACUACAUAAAGAUUGAACUUAAAACUUCGUGUGCAAUAUCCAAAUCUCCCACCACUAGCCAAUCCUAACGGAUAUCUUUCUACUUUUUAUACAGCCAAAAAACCUACAAAAUUAUCUUAGUUUUUACUUAUUUUUUCUUUCUUUUCACAUUCUUUUCAAAAUUAAACAUUCAAUUACUUGUAAACCAAAGGAGAUUUUUCCCUCCCCUCUUUCUUUCCCCCACCUUCUUUUCAAUCAUUUCAAAUAAAAAGACAUUGUUUAAAACUAAAAAUAAAACACACAGUUAAAGUACGAAUGACCAAAUGUCAAAUGAUAUGAAAGGGAGCUCCGAACCAUAUUUGUGUUUGAGAAUUGAAUUUGAUUCCGCCAAAAAAACAGUUCAGUGAGCAAAUCCAGAUUUAGAUUACUUGGGUUGGGCCAUCUUUUCUGUGGCAGGUCUAGGGUUUACCUCAAUGGGCCCACCAAUUUUCAAAUCUUGUGGACGAAAACAAUAUCACCAGUCACCACACAAUUCCACGCCUGCAAACUGUGUAUUGCUUACUCUCUUUAUCCGACUAAUAUGAACCACUUGUCUUUCACUUUUGCAUUCAGUACCACAAGAAAUUAUUUGAUACUCUUGUCUUGGACCACUGCGUUUUCAUGGUUCCAAAUAGUCAAGUAUUUUAAUUUUUAAGAUUUUUUUGACACUUAACUAAAUGGUAUGUAAGAAUUAAUGGGAAUCAUGACAAUUUCCAGCCAUGUAAUAAUUUUCAGUAAAUAAUCUUUUUUAUCUCUAAAAGUAUUAAACAUUAUCACAUGAAUUCCUAAAACUAUUUUUCUUUUCAAAUAUUGUGUAAUUUUUUCCAAAAAAGUCCCUAAUCACAUAAUAUUUUGGUUCCUAAAUAUAUAUUAUUAUUAUUUAGCUCCCAAGUUAAAUACACAGUUAAACUAAUAUAAUUGAUGAAUUACACUCUCAUCUUUUGGAUAUAUUUUUUUUUAAUUUUAAAAACUAAUGUCACACACCUAUUUAACUAUCGGGGAGAAAAAUGUCUUUUACUCACUAAUUUUUCUAGUACCACCAACAAGCUUUGGAGUUUUACCAUAUGAGUGUAAUUUUUUAUUUUUUUUUAUAUUUUUUUAUAUGGGUCGUUUUCAAAUUAUUUUAAAAGAUGGAAUAGGUCGUAAUAGGUGUUAUGACGUCUCAGUUAGACAUUAUAAUAUUUGUUUCGACUUGUUAUUAUUAGUUUUUUUAAUUGAAGUCAUAAAUUUUUUUACGACUUAAUUUAAUUUUUUUUAUUGAGGACUUCAAGUCAUAAAUUUUUCUAUUUUUACGAUAACAUAUUAAAUAAAAUCAUAAAAAAUAUACAAGAUAUUAAAUAAAAUUAAUAGUAAGUAAAAUUAAUAAUAUUUAUUUAAUAAUUAAAUAAGUAAAAUUAUUUACAAUUGUUUUAAAAAAAUUGAGAGCAAAAGAAAAUAAAAUACAUGUAAUUGAUAAAGUCUAUAAAACACGUAAAAAAAGAUUACGACUUCAAAGUUGUAAAAUAAAAAUAAAAAAUACAACUUUAAAGUCUUAAAAAAAAUAUUUACUAUUUUGAAGUUAUAAAUAAAAAAAACUAAAAUUAUAAAAUUUUUAUGAGUUUAGUUUUAAAAAAUCGUAAUAAAUAUUACGACUUCUAACUUUUUGUUUUUGAAAAUAAUUUGAAAACGAUCCUAUAUAAAAAUUGAAAAAAAAUUACACCCAUAGGCUAAAACUCCCAACAAGCUAAAGGGAUCCGAAUUUAACUUCAGUCAGUACUUUAGGUUUUUUUUAAGAUAUUUCAUUGAUAAUAAUUUGGAAGAUACAAGAGGGAAUAUGCUGAAAAAGCACCUCAAUUGUUAAAAACUUAAUAAAAGGUCUAAAAAUGAUUUUGAUCCGAAUUCUUUUUUUUUUAUAUAUAUAAAAAAAUCGAAUGAACAGCCAAUAAAAAUUAUACAAAUUAAGGCUUUUUUACAAAUUAAUGAAAGCUAGCUUUGAUACAAUCAAACAUCCCAUUCCGCACAACAGUACUCUUGUUACAUUAUUGUCUAUGAUAUAUUGCAUAAAUUCCAGCACUCAUUCUAAAAAUCUCCCACUCUUGUCCACAUGAAGCGUUGCUCUUACUCCACAACCAAUCAUUGCAAUAAACAAUGAAACGAAGCAGAGAGUGGGUGAAUAACCCUAAACCAAAACAACCUUCAAUAAGUUUCUAGGUGACAGAGAACAAAAUCAAGGCUUGAAUUAAUUAUUCAUUAAAGAAAAAUAAGAAACAUGCAUGUAACGUGUCCCAGAAAGAGACCCUCACGCUGUAACAUGUCUCUGGGGGCUAGAAUUUGAUCACAAAAUGCCGAAGGGGUUUUUGGCAAGUGAGGCAUUUGAGGAUGCCAUGGGGGAGUGGGUCCCACAUGCAUGCAUUUCGAUGAAUUUGAUGGGACAGAAUUCUGGUGACAAGGAUUUGAUAACGAUGUUUGGACUUCAUGUGUGUGUUCUCUCUCAAGUUAUAUUUCUGUUAUUGUUGAAUUAGUUCCGUGGUGGCACUGCUUCCUGCCAAUAUUAAUUGCUGUGUUGGAGGUCUCCAUCAACAUGUUUUUAAAUACUUUUUAUUAUUAAAAAUAAAUCCCCCCACAUGAGCUCAAUAAUAAAAUCUAAAUAUAAUUCUUGGCUGCAUACUCUGAAUUUUAUAUUCCUUUAAACCUUAGGUUUUUUCAUUACUUAAUUAAUAAUAUUUAUCUACAAUUCAUCAUCAUUUGCUUACUUUAUUUUCUUUGAGACUUUUUACUAUAUUAGCUAGGUUGUGUUUUUGUAAUUUUAGGAAAAGUUGUCUGUGAAAUAAAAAGUAGCGAAUGGAAAUAGAGCAUUCAUAACUUGAGAAAACCAGACACAAUCAUACAACAGAUGUUGUGUUGUCUCAAGACAUUCGUUACAACCAACAGAAAUACCAUUCUUAACAUCCAAAAUGUCCCUCUUCGUAAGAUUAACUUUGAAGGUAUUCUCUUCAUAAAAUUAACCAUUGAAGGUAUUCUAUCUUGUAUUAAUAAAAGUACUUUUGACUUCUAUAUACAUACAAUAGAAACUUGAAGUAAAAAUACUUUUACUUUUGUUGAUAUUAUCUAAAGCAAUUUUAUUUUACGAACAUACUUUUGAAUAAAAAUAUCUAAACAUUGCUUAAAAAAAUAUUACACAAAUUACAUUGUAAUAAACUUAUUUUUAUCAAACUUAAAUUUAUAAUACACUUUAAAUUUAGACUUACAUUUUCAAACUUGAAUCCAAAUAUGUAACAUGUCCGAUAAAUGAACCGCAUGAUUAGAUACACACCUUCAUGUGCUUUUGCUGAUUUUUAUCAGGCAUCGGGAUCGUACCCAAAAUUUUUAGUUGCAUAAUAAGUUCAAUUGAUUCAGCUAAAAUAAAUGUAAAAUCAGCGAAAAAGUUCGCAAAAUACCUUGGUUAAAUCUCCAAUAUCGUAUCAUUCGAUCAACGCUUGAUAAGUGUUAAAACUGAAAAUGCUAAUUAUAAAAUUUAGCUAUAAUCUUUUUUAAAAAAAUUCUUUUAUAGACUCCAUAUGCUAUUCAUUUACAAUCUUUUAAAAAUUGACCCAAUAGUUCAUUACUACCUUUGUUCUUUUUUUAUCUGUUUUUGUUAGAUGGAAAUAAAAAAUGCAAUAAGUUUUAUUGAUUUUAAUAAAGCAGUUCAUGUAAUUUUUCCAACUCCAUAAUAAAUACAUAUAUAAAUUAAUUAAAGAUUAAGCCUUUGUUUGGAUGGUGAAUAAAAGAGAGGAAAUGAAGGAAGAUUUUAAAAAAUAUAAGUGAUCAAGAGUCUCAUACUUUCUCUCCUCUAUUUUAAUUCAAAUAUUUUUUUUCUUAUUUUUCUAUUUUACUCUAUCAAACCAACCCUAAGAGACAAAUAUAAAUAUAAUUUAUAAAAAAUAAUUAAUGCGACCUUAAAUUUUAUAAAUAGAGAUAAAUAAAAUAAAAAUACAACAAUUAAAAAACGGAGAAAUAUGAAUUUAUAAGCAUUGAAUGCCAACGCCCCCAUUGACCAGUUCCAAGAAGAUGAAAACGAAUCGGUAAAUGCUAAUUAAGCAGCUUCCAAAAACUAGAAUUAUGAAUAAGAGCCAAGACGAACAAAGUUUCUCCACAAGAAUGAAUGCAUGUUUGAAUUUGUUGGUGACUGGGAGCCAUAGAUACUUAUACUUUUCUAAAUAUUUAAUAAAUUUUAAGAUAUGCUUUAAUUUUGAUAAAUUUUAAAUUCAAUUCAUCUAAACUUUUUUUUUAAUAAAAAAAAUUAAUAAAAGCAGAGUCAAGUCCCGGGGGCAUUUUCGGCAACAAAGUCAAAAUCACACUUCCUUUGGUUCCUACUUCCCUGUUUUGUAUUUUCCACAUACUAAGGACCCUUUCUCUAUUCUCUAUUCUCUUCUGCAUCACCAUUUCACCACUGAGAGAACAACACAACACAUCAAACGAGCCUCUCGGUUUCCAAUGUGAAGAGAGCCAACAUGGCUACAAUCGCUGCCAGGAUUCUCGGUUCCAACUCAAGGCCAGCGGUCGCGCUCCGCCGCUUGCGGUGGCCGGCGUACUCCUCCGCCUCCGCGGUGGUGGCGGAGCCGGAGACCACGGAGGUGAAGGACUACGCCGAUUACCGCCGCUCCCUGUACGGACAGAUCACGCACAAGGCGCUCCUCGUCGACGCCGUUGGCACGCUCGUUCUCCCCUCGCAGCCCAUGGCUCAGGUGCGUGCUUCGAUGUGCGCGCCACGUGAAACUGAAACUAAUUCUGUUUAAAAACGGCGUCGUUUACGUUUUUUGUUUUUUGCUUUUUUUUUUGGUAGAUAUAUAGAAAGAUUGGAGAGAAGUAUGGAGUGGAGUAUUCGGAAGAUGAGAUACUGUUCAGAUAUAGAAGAGCGUAUGGUCAGCCUUGGGGAAAAUCUCGUCUCAGGUUUGUUUUUGCUUUUGCUUAAAUUUUUUUUGCAGAACAUGUAUUGUACGAAUAUGUUUAUGCCAGAAGCAGUCUUUAAUCUUUGUCGGAUUAUAAUCAUUAAUUUUAGUUUUUUUAUUAUUAUUAGAAAAAUUACUGCAUUCUAAAAUAGUUUUAUCUUAUUAUUCAAUAUAUACGUAAGAUUCUUGAUUUUAUGGUAAUCAGCCGAAUUGGACUCGAAUCUUUUAAACAAUGUUUUUGAUUCGAGCCUUACGGGUAAACAAAAAUGAUUGAGAGGAUAAAUCUUAUUAAAAAUGGUUAGACAGAUUGGAGAGAUUAGUUAUUUAUAAAAUCAGUAGAUAUUUUGUAAUAAUAAUUUAGUUACUCAAAAAAAUAUUAGUUAGUAUUACUAUUAUCAAGGUUUUAAAUAUUAGUUGCGGAGGCGGUUUUGUCAUGCUUAUUGAUAUUACCAAAAUAGUGGAAAAAUGCAGUCGAUGCGACUACAAUUGUUGACUUGUUGUGGUUGCAAACACUUGAAAAACCUUACCGUUGUGGCUAAAAUUACGGUCACAUACUGUUUUUAAAAUAUUGAUUGUUAUUUUAAAUUUGGAUUUUCAUAUAUGGUUAUGAGUUUCUUGGUUUGUUUAUUUAUUGAUGUUGAUAUUGAUAUUAAUAUUGGAUGUUGCUUUUGUGUAGGCGUUUAUUAAUUAUCAUGAAUGACUUUCAUGGGAUUGGAAAUUUCCUAGUUUGGAUCUUUUUGUAUGUCUAUCUUAAAAAAUGAAGAAGAAAAAGAAGAGUAGUUAGAGAUUUCGUAUCAGCUGGUUUUGCCUAGUGAACUAGAUUUUCUUUAUGGGGUCCGUUGUGUGAAUAAGUGGUUCAUUUCUUCAAACCUAUCGCUGACUACUCCAUCAUAUGUCUAAUGAGUAAUUGUACUAUUGCAGACGCUAAUAGUAAUUACUAAAAACUCAAGACAGCAUUACAUUAAAAUAACUUCAGCUAGGACUUUGUUAUCUUUUUAUGUUGAUAUUUUUAUGUAUCUUGAGUUCCUAAUGGUUGGACUUGUAAUAUGCAAGAGUUGCUCUUGUCUAGUUAGUUAGAAAGUCUUGGAGACAAGAACUGGUAAUUCACACAUAAAUGUUGGCAAGGGAUUUUAUAUUGGUUUUGAGUGAAAUGACAAGAACAAUUUUUGAUAGCUACAUUCCUAAUAGUAAAUACAUAUUGCUUGUAGUGAAUGAUCUUUCUCAGUUACCUACUUGGCGAAAGAACUAUGGAGUAAGUAUUUUAAUUAGUGAGAGUUUUUUUAGCACAAUUCAUAUGAGCCAUAUUAUCAAACUCCUAUGUUCUGGGAGUAGAAUUAUGAUUUGGUUGAGCAACACAACAAACAUCAUGCAGUUUGUAUGCAGCUUUAAAUAAUCAUGCUUAUGUGUCUUUUAACUUUAAAGUUACUGUUUCCAUAUAUACAUCCUUUGUUAUAUGUCUCUUAAGAAUACUUGAAUAGUUUGCUGCCAGCCUCUAGGUCAAGACGAGUUUGUAUUAAACAACAGCAGAAGGCUUAUCCAUUUUAGAUAUAUUGAUGAGUUUUACCUUGGCCUUCAUAUUGAUUGCGACUAAAUAAAAAAAAGUAAUCUCUUACACAUAGCUGUAGAGACACUAUACUGCUUGUCAGAUUUAGUAUAAUUAAGAUUCCUUUUUUUCUUUUACAUUGCAGAUAUGUUAAUGAUGGUAGGCCCUUUUGGCAAUACAUAGUUAGUUAUUCUACUGGCUGCUCAGAUCCUCAAUACUUUGAAGAACUUUAUAACUAUUAUACGACAGACAAGGUAGAUUACUUAUAAUUACCAUUUUCUAAAAUGUAUAUACUAUCUCUCUCUGUAUUUUUUUAUUUUUUUUUAUAAUUUGGGUAGUGUUUGAUAGUUUUGGCUGUCUAUCAUCCAUAUAGGCAUGGCACCUCAAUGAUCCUGGCGCAGAAGAAGUAUUCAGAGCUCUUAGAAAAUCAGGUGUGAAAUUAGCUGUUGUGUCAAACUUUGACACUAGAUUAAGACCUCUCCUGCGGGCAUUAAAUUGUGACAAUUGGUUUGAUGCAGUAGCAGUGUCAGCUGAGGUAAGCUAAUUGCUCUUCUCUUAGCUUUUUGUUUGAUCAGUUUGUGUUACUACUGGUUAUUCUCUCCUCCCUCCUCCCUCCUCUCUCAUCCAUUGAUGCAUACAAUUGUAUUGAUGCCAUUCGCAAUGGAGAUGCAUCAUGAAUGUGAGAAAUCUUUAGAAGGGAAAUAGUGGAAAUAAACCUGAAUCAUUUAUUGUCUCAUUGAGUCACAUCAUGCAGGAACAUGUUAUGAUAAAGAAAACAAAUCAAUGAUAUUGAAAGUGCAGAAAUCUUUAUUUAUAUAGUGUCAUUUCUAAAAUUUAUCAUUCCAGAAGUAAAAAUAGACCCAUUUUCAAGCUAAUAUUGUAGCAUGUUCUAGAAGUAAGCUUCCCCAAUCGCUUUGGAUUAGGAAGCAACUCAUCAUGAUUCUGGGCUUGAGAAUCUUGUUACAGAGAUUUUUGACCAUUGAACAAAGCAUACUUACAUUUGAAACAAUAAACUUACACGAGAUAAUAUCAAGUAAUGUGGCAAAGUUGAGUAAAUUUGGUGAAAAAUCAAAUGGAAAUUUUGAUGGCUAAAAUUUACUGGUAAAAACAAAUGCUUUAGCACAAACCAUAUUUUUUAUGGCAUGUAUUAUAGUUGCCUUCAUCAAUUUUAAAGAAUUAGCAAUUAUCCUUUGAUCCUCGAGUGUUGACAAUUAUUUAGAUUGUCAAGUUCUUGUAUCUCGAAUGCAUUUGAGCAUCCAUGCAUUGACAUAGUGGUUAAGUUUGUCAUGCAUUAAUCAAAAGUUCCGUACUUAACAUGAUUUUCCUUUUCUUGACCAUAAUUGAUUUAUAAACUUUUUCAAUUAGGUUGCGGCGGAGAAACCAAAUCCAACUAUAUUUCUCAAAGCAUGUGAAUUAUUGGAUGUAAAACCUGAGGAUGCUGUUCAUGUUGGGGAUGACCGCAGAAAUGAUAUAUGGGGUGCCAGGGAUGCUGGCUGUGAUGCUUGGCUUUGGGGAAGCGAUGUUCACUCCUUUAAGGAGGUAUCUAAAAUCUUCAUCUCUUUUUAAAGUACAGAAAUUUUAUUGGUGAAAAUAUAAGGUCAUUAUAACUAGGGGAGAAUAAAUUAUCAUCCCAAACAAGGUACCUCCCUUGGUAUUUAAAACCAGGAUUCAGGGGUUGCUUGCUUUUGGGUGCCGUUUGCUCCUUCCCCUUAGAUCCCUAAAUCCCAAUAGAGAUCUUCCUAGUUACCCAAAAGCAUAAAGGGGAAAGGUGAUACCAUUUCUUUUUACCUCCUGUUAUGCUAUGCCUUGUUGGUACUCUUGUAAAUAUAAGUAGUAAACUAAAAUAAGAAAUAUAAAAGGUAAUUGUCAACAUUAUGGCAGGUUCCAGUUUGUAACUUGAAUGUAAUCAUGAAUUUACGAUAACCUUAACCUUGUAUGAAUAUAUCUUCUGCUGUUUUUAACUUUUUACCAGUAUUAUAACCGGUUCAUUUUGAUUUUAAUAUCUGCUAUGUUUUUCAUGCCAACUUAAUGAGGUAUCUCUCUAUUCAUGCUUGAAAUGACUUGAAAUUUUACUGAUGCAGGUAGCACAGAGGAUUGGGGUUCAGGUCUGAAAGAUGAUUUCUUUACAAUAAGUUUGAUGUUAUGCGUGUAUAGAGUCCUUUAGGCUUUAGCUUUAAGGCUGUACAUGUUCUGCUCCUUUUUGCAAUGUAUGUAUAUAUGUAUGAAGAAGAUGUGAGCCUGUAAAAACUAUUAAUAGUUGUAGGUAGGAGCUUUUAUCUUUUCCAUUGAUCUGUGUUUUCCAAAAUCUUUAUCUUAAAAUUAUAAAUAAAACAAAUGAAAAAGAAAAAGAAAAAGAAAUUGAAUAAAACAGAAGUAAGCGUAGGAAGGAAAUUUAUGAACAAGUCAUCCCUAACCAUAACUUUUCACUUUAUUCUUAGGCUAUUACCUCAUCUAUUCUAAUCAAAGAUUGAAAAAUAAAACAGUAAUUAUAGCUAUAUAUACUUUUUUGGGGUACUUAUAAUCUUUUUAUACCUGAUAUUGUUAGAAUGACAUAAAAUUCUUGUAUCAAUUUUGUCGGGAUAUAUUAAAUUCGAUUAAAAAUGCUUUUCUGGUCUUCAAGUAAAAAAUAAUCCAUUGAGAACAAGAGUAGUAUGUCCAUAGUCUCCCAACAAUCAUUCACGUCCUUUGAAGGUCUAUGGCUUGUGGCACAAUACUAUUUGCUUGUUCAAUAAUGGGAGUCUCGUCAAGGUCUUGAUAAGGAAAUGGAUUCCGUUCAUGUGGGUGUGUUUAGACAAACAAGGGUUUUUCCAAGUCAAACAGAGCCAAUAGGGUCAGAUUUUUGCUUAACGAGAUAAGUCUGCAUCCUUGAUAAUAUAAAAUAUUUUGAAAAGUAGAAUAAUUCAAUUGAAAGAAAUCAAAUUUUAUUCAUUUACAAGAUUACUUGUCUGAAUGAUUAAACUCUGUAAAGUCUCAUUUUUUAUCCGCUUCCGUACUCUCAAAACAUACCAUCCUAUGUAGAUCGAAAUCACUAUAAUUUCUUUAAUAUUUUAGUAUCUUUAUUGAAUAAAACUAACUUGAAACCUUAUGAGUUUUUAUUGUUGAUAGAUUCUUUCUAAGAGAUGUAUCACAACAGCAGAUACAUGGAGGAGGAUCAACUUACCAACAUGGAGUGUGAAAUCCUCAAAGGAUUGGACUGAAAAUUAAGUAUUCCAACAACAUACCUCUUUCUAGUAAGAUACAUUAAAAACUUUUGUUGUUUGAUAUAAAAGCAGGUCAUUUUUUAUCUCUGUUAUUUUAGUUUUUGAAAUCUUUUUUGAAUCACAACACUAGGUCAUGAGAACUAGUAUGAUUGGGAUGUAUAUGAAAUGUUCAAAAUUAACAUGUUUGAUUGAAUUUACUAGCAUUUUAACCAGAAAUAACAACUAACAUUGGUUGAUAAAAAAAUUAUAGUAACAAUAAGAGUAAUUAAUAUGAAUCCCUAAUAUUUCAUCAAUGCAAAUGAAAAAAUGCAAUUUUAGUUUUGUCUGAAGUACUAAUGCCCCAUUACUCAUGAUUAUGUGGAGAGGGUUAUUCGGACCUCAAGAACAUUUUUAUAUGCGUUCUUCAUGUGCAUAAACAUACAUGGUCAUGCAUACCUAGAUCAUAUCACACCUAUUUGUUAUUCCUACUCACAACUUUGCAAAAUAUGACACCCAAUCACACCUAUAUCCAUCUUCUAAUUUCUAGAUUCAUGCACAAGGGAGUCACACCAUGUGAGGUGAAUAAUCGUACAUGGCAAAGGCCUCACAUGACGUGACCCAGUGUCAAGCACAAUCUCAAAUUUAUUUCUCCUUCCCUUUUCUCUUUUUAUUCCUUGUAUCAUUGCGAGUAAGUUCCUUUUUAUAAUAAGAGACCAUUCAUAUUGCAUGUUUCAUUUAUACUACAUGUCUCUUGCUUAUUACAUGUUCUCUAUUUCUAUACGUAAUAUAACACAUAAAUGCAAAUGUAUUUAAUUAAUAUACUUGACUAAAAUUUAUUGAAAAACAUAAUGAUAUACUAAAUAUUUAUCUAAACUAAAUAUACUGAUAAUCUAAAUAUCGUACUAAACUAAAUAUUGGAGUAAUCUAAAUACUGACCAAAACUAAAUAGUGUAUUAAACUAAUAUUUUCCUACACUAAAUAUCACCAUAACCUAAAUCUCUAAAUAAAAGUUUUCUAAACAAAACAAAAUAAAAAUGUGUUUUCCUCACAUUUUAAAUACAACAAAAACAUAUUUUUGUUGUGUAUCAAAUAUGAAAUGCAACAUAAUCAUGUUUAUGUUAAAUAUCAUACACAAUAAAAACAUAUUUCUAUUGCAUCUAAAACAGAAAAAAAUGAACUUACUUGGUUCCCAAAGAUGACGAUGACUUGUCGCAGUUUGGCAAUGACAUCUCUGAGGCUUUCAAGAAGAGGUGAAUUCAAUGCAUUCAGAGUGAGUGAGUGGGAGAAAGAUCCGUGAAAGGUGUGGGUGAGGGGAAAUGAUUAGGGUAGUUUAAGAAAUUUAAAAAUUUUAAAAAAGUCGCAGGUGAACUUAUUAAAUAAGAGUGAAAAUAGCAAAUCCUUUAUCUAACAUAGAAAUGAACCCAUUACCUUGUGGAUAAAAUUGUCUCAUCCAUUUCGUGAUACCAUUUCCGCUUCUAGGGCCUAUUCCUACUAAUGACGGACUGGAACUGCUAGGCGCACCCAGCAAUUUUGCUGGUACACCCAGCAUAAAAUGCAAUGUCGAUUUUGUCCUUUCGUAUGUCCUAAUAUGAAUUGCCAAUCCGUAUGAGGCCCAUAGGAUUUUUUUAUUUUUUAUUUCAAAAAUAUAGUUUUGGAAUUAAUUUAAAAUUAAUGGUCCAAUUAUGUUAUAGAUUAAUUAAUGUCGCUAUAUAUAAUACUACAAUUUCUAAUAUAUAUUUAAUACAUAUGUAAAUUUACAUAAUAAAUUUUGUGAUAAUUAAAUUUUAUCUAAUAAUUAAUUUUUUUACAUAUAUAAAUUGUAAAUAAAAAUCAUAGAUUUAAUAAAAAUUUACAUAUGUAAAAAGAAAUAACAAAUUUUUUUAAUUAUUAAUUGCUGCAAUAAACAUCUAAAUAUAUCAUUCAAUUAAAUAUCAUAUUUGUUUAUUUUUUAAUCACUGUAAUAAACAUCCAAAUAUAUCAUUUAAUUAUAUAUCAAAUUUAUUUAAAUAGUAAUUACUAUAAUAAGCAUAAAUAUAACAUCCGAGUAAAUAUCAAAAUUUUUUUAGUUAUCAAAUUUGGUAAAUAAAAUAAUGUAUAAAAAAUUAUAAUUUAAAAAAAAAUUCAAAAACAUAUGGAUUAACAAUCUGUUUAUUUUAAAUUUUUGUAAUACCCAUUUUUUCUUCUCCGGCGAUGAAAAACUACUAAACUUUAUUGUAUGAACCAUAUGGAUUGCCAAUCCGUAUGUUUUGAAUUUUUUUAAAAUUAUAAUUUUUUAUAGCUUAUUUUAUUUACAAAAUUUGAUAAUUGAAAAAAAUUAAUAUUUAAUUGGAUGUUGUAUUUAGAUGUUUAUUACAUUAAUUAAUAGUUAAAUAAAUUUGAUAUUUAAUUGAAUGAUGUAUGUGAAUGUUUAUUACACUGAUUGAAAAUUAAACAAAUAUGAUAUUUAAUUGAAUGAUGUAUUUAGAUGUUUAUUAUAUCAAUUCAUAAUUAAAUAAGUUUGGUAUUUUUUUACAUAUGUACCUUUUUAUUAAAUCUAUGAUUUUUAUUUACAAUUUAUAUAUGUAAACAAAUUAAUUAUUAGAUAAAAAUUAAUUAUGACAAAAUUUAUUAGGUAAAGUUACAUCUGUAUUAAAUAUAUAUUAGAAAUUUUAAUAUUAUAUAUAACGACAUUAAUUAAUCUAUAACAUAAUUGAUCUAUUAGAUCAAUUAAUUAGAGUGUUGUGUUAAUAAGGUAAAAGUCACUAGUUCAAUUUCUGUUUGAAGCAUUAAUACAAAAUGGCAAAAUUGACCUUGAAUGCUGGUGUACCAACAAAACCAGCUAGGUGGGCCUAGCUGUUCCCAUGACUAACUCAUGUUGUUGGUCUAGGAAAUUCAAGACCUACGAGCCUAUGUUGACCACAGCGGUUUGCAGCACACUUAUCUCAUCUUGUUGAUAUGGUGAUUCACACAAGGAAAAGUCAAAGGUAGUUUUUCUUGAUAUGGUGAUUCAUGAUAGGCGACAAAAGGUAGCUUACUGACAUUUGGACAAGGUUAUUGUAGUUUGAAGUGAAUAUGGAGAUUAUUAUGGAAAGAUUGUGUUUAAGAUUUGGGUAAAAGGUGUUUUAAUUUUACUCAUUAUGAAGGAUCAAAAUGAGAGAAUGUUGAUUGCCUUUUGGUGUUUAAGGCAUAAUUUUUUAUGCAAAGAGAAGUCUAAUUUUUAGUUUUGUUUCUUUAGUUUCUAGGUCAAAACAUGACUUAAAUUGCUUAGAAUUUCAAUGUACAAUUCUUUUAUGGAUUGUUUAUUUUUGUUUUAUAUGCAAAUCGAUAAAACAGAGAGAUAUCCCCUAUGUUAUCUAGCAAGGUGUCAAUGAUGUAUUGGUGUUGCCAACAAGCCAACCAAGAAGAUUACUACACAUGCCUAAAUCAUUAACAGUUUUGCUCAAUCAUGUAGUUAUUCAAUUAAUCUUUGGACACAAGGGAUCUCCUUGAGGAGAGUUAUCCACCAAGAGAGAUUUUAAUUAAUGGCAUAAGGAGAAUCAAACUUGCAUCUAUGAGGAAGAUGAAAGUUUAACUUUAAAUCUUUGACCACUAAUAUCAACUCACAUUAAUUAUGAUUUUUUUCUCAUUAUGUUUUAGUAUGACUAUAUUUAUUCAUAUAUAUAUAAAAUGAGCUUUGGUGAGUAUAUGAACUGAUUUAAAAAGUUUAAUCCUGAUAGAAAUUAAAAUGAUAAAAUAUAUAUGUUAUGCAUAGAGAUUUUUUUUUAUUUAUAAAAAAAGCAUCUUUUUCUCAAAUAUGAAAAAUCACAUCAAAUUAAAUUUCAUUAGUCGUACUCGUAUUCAACUUUGCUCUCAGUUAUAACAUGACAUAACAAAAGGAGCCAUUAGCAAAACCCUUUUUGGUUAAGGGAUCAUUUACAGUUUUAAUUACAGUAUCAAAUAAGAAAAACAUAGCAGUAUAUCGUUAAUUUAAGAUACUAAAAGGUAUUUAAACCGACCAAUAAAGAAAGAAGAGAGACAACAAAGACAUGUACUGUAGUACAUACUACGUGGGAAUAACCUGUGUAUUUAAUACAGUCAUCUUGGUUAAACGACAUAUAUUUUUACUGACUCCAAAACUGCUUUAUCUAGAAAACUGUACUAUUAUUUUUUAUUAUCAUGUAAUACCUAAUAUAACUAACGGAUAUAAUACAAGUAUACAACUCUACUGGGUCUUGCAUCACCAUAUUUUUCUAUGUACGCACGCUACGUUAUGAAAUUCCCAGCCUUAAAUUAAUAACCCCGUGCAGACCAUAGGCAAGGAAUCCAAAGGCUUGCGUACGUAUAUUAUCUAAACUGUUUAAGCAUGAAUGUAAAUAAAAAAUGAGUAUCAGAUUAUACUCAUAUUGGUAUCUUUUACUAUUAUAUUUUUUUAUAUUUUUUUUCUCAACAUACAUAUACAUAAUAUAUAUUAAAAAUUUUAUUGCUAUAAUUUUUUGAAAAUAUAAAUCAAUUAGCUUGUUAAAUAAUUAAAUAAGAAACUUAAAAAUAUAUAUUUAACUAAAAAUAUAAUUGAAUUCUUAAUUUUUUAACUUUAAUUAUUUAUUAUUCAUUUUAUUAUAUAUUGUUUGAAUUAAAAUACAAUUAAAAACUUAAAAAAUAUUUUAUUUAAAAUAUAUAAGUAAAGUAAAAUUAUAAAAAAGAGUGUAGUAAAUUACUCGCAGAUAUACAUGGACAACCUGAUAAAAUUUGACGGAAAUGGAGAUGAGUAUUAAAGAGUUUUUUACCUAAAAAAAUAAAAAAAAUUACAUAAAUAAUACAAUUUUUUAUAUACAAGGAACCAAUUUCUCACUUGCAUAGUUUUAUUUUUUUAGAUGUAUUUUAGAAAUCGGUUCCCCAAGAAUCGGUUACUAAAGUACGUUUUUUUAAAAUUGUUGUGUAUUUUGUUUUUUUAAAAUAAUUUUAUAUUUUUAAUAAUUGUCUAUAUUUAUCUUUUUUUUGUUAAACCAAAAUAUUAUUUUGCAUAUGUUUUUAAAUUUUUUGUAUUUUUAUUUUAUUUGAUUAUUAAAAUAUAUAAUUGAAAUAAAAAAACAUAUUUAACCAACAAGUUGAAUUGAACUAAAAUAUUUAAAUUAAAAAAUAGAUAUAAAACUACAAACAAUAGAAUAAAAUAUUUAAAUUUGAAACAAUACAACACAACUUUUAGAAUACAAAUGAUAUGACAUAAACUUAGCGUUGUUGGCUUGAGCUUACAAAAUGUUUGCAUUUGUUUUUUGAAUGGUCUAGGAUAUGACACAUGGAAUAUCACUUUGCAUGAUCUUGUAAGAUUGAUAGAUUUGAACAUGUAUGGUGUUCACAUGGCUUUCUUAUUUUCCACUUCUUACUUGUAAAGAUGUAUGUUGCCUUGGACCUUCAAGCACAAUCAUCGUCAUCACAAAUACCAAUUAGCUUUAUUGAUUUCAAUAGUUGUAUCUUAUAAUUAACUCCUUUGCUCAUAUGAUAUUGUUGCAAAGCAUGUUGUACUUCUUCUUUUGUUUGAAAACACAUUCCUUCAAAGAGACUCCCCAUUGGACGUUGGACUUCUUCACGAUCCAACAUAUGACCAUAUUCAGAAUCUUCAAAAUUAGAUUCAAGGUCAACAUUAUGCUUGUGUGGUGACAUGUAGUAUGGUGGUAUGUUUGUUAUUGGAGAAACAACCUCAACUUCUUCCUCAUGAUCUGUUUAGGGUUGAUUGCCUAGAACUUCAUCUUCGUCCUCAUUAAAGGAUCCGAGUUCUUUGUUAGGUAAGUCAGACUUUAAUGUAAAAUCAGGCUCAUUUGGUUGGGUUCAUGAGGUAAGCUCUACUACAGGGAUACUUUAGUAUGAGUGUGGUUGAUCCUCAGUAACACCAAAUGUUUGUGAGUCUAACAAAUUGGUGAAAAAUGGUGUGGAAAGAGGUUGAGUAAAAGAAGAUGGGUUUGAUUCGAAUAAAUUUUGAUGUGGUUGGGUUAAAUAGAAUGUCUCUUGGGUUGCAUCGGAUGUAUGUGAAACAUGGAAUUGAAGAUAACAGUAAGGGUUAGAUGCAACUCAAUACCUUUGUCUGAUAUUCACCAUAUUACUAUAAACAUGAAGAAUGUAUAUGCUUUUGUGUAUUGCGAUGGUGACAUGAUUCCAUCAUAUAAAUGGAUAAUGUUUGAAUGUCCUAGUGAUUCUAAAGUCAUCAUAAUAAAAGAGGACAUGCUUCUUGAUGCCUUAAGGAAAAUGAUUUUUUAUGCCAAUGGAGGUUGUAGAAUUUUACUUUACGUAGGUGAUGGUUGUGUCGAAUAUGACUAUAUGGAGUUCAAACGCGACGAUGAUGUGAAAAAAAUAUUUUUCAUCUAUUCAUAAUUUAGUAUCAAAAGUAUGAGGAGUUGAAUGCAACUUUUGAGCGUUAUCUAGAUAAAAUCCUUGUCUUACUGCACAAACUAAGGAAACCAAGAAUGACUGAUGUGAUCAUUGCUAUGAUGCGUGAUGAAUCUAUAUAGUCAUUAAGCAAACUAGUUAUUGUUACUUUUUUUAUAAUUAACUUGCAAUUCAUCAUUGAAAUUUUGUUACAUUUUUUUUAAGAUUCUCUUCUUUAAUUGUGUUAGUUUUAGAAGAUUAUGAUGUUUAUCUAAGAUUUUUUUUUCUUCAAUCAUGCAAAAUAGUACUAAAUCUACAAUUUGAAAUGAAAAUAAAAUGAAAUAAAAAUUAAAACUAUUGUAUUAUUGAAAUAUAUUUUUCUAGAGUGAAUUUUCAUUAUCUUUUCAUUUUCCUUUUUUUAAAAAAUAUUAUAAUCUUUCUAUAAAAAGUUAAAAUUAAUUUGUUGUUAAUAAAAUUUGUAAUUAAUCCACAAUUUAUAUUUAUGGGACUACACUAAUAUUCUAUCGGUAAAACAUCAUAAACAUGAAUAAAAUAACGCAAAAAAUCACCUCCAUAAGUUAUUUAUCUAAGCUUUCUUUAUUAUUUUUUUCAUCUUCUUCAAUCUAAAUAUACUUGGUUUCAUCUUUUUGUUUUCUUUAUUUUUAGCUACGUUUAGUCUCAAAUUAUGCCACCUAUUCUAAAUAUUUCAUUUAAGGAUUAAUUAUUUAUUUAAAAUACGAUUUGAUAAAAAUGGAUUACAAGUGUUUUUUUUAAAUAAAUUAAUUUAAAAUUAACUAACAACAUAUGCAAAAUAAUUUUUUAAAAUCAAUGAGAAAAAAUGAAAAAUUUAAAACAAAUAACAAAAAACAUAAAAAAAAAUAGUUAAGAAGUCAGUUCCUUUGGAACCGAUUUCAUUAUUGUGUUUAAAAAAACAAAUGAACAUUUAAAUAUCAGUUUCUUAGAGAAUCUUUAACACUGAAUCUUGGGGAUAAAUCUUAAGUUGAAGAUCUCAACUUCCCCAGAUUCACCAAUAAAGCACCCCUCAAUAUUUCUAUGUUGGAAAUCCAAUUCUUAAGAAAGACGUGUAUAUUUGCACAAUUUAAAAAAAAAUAAUCCUACUUGUGACAAUAACAAUAAAAUUCAGGAGGAAUCAAAAUAGUUGGAAUGUAGGAAUGGCACAACAUAAGAGAUGAAGAAGAAGAACUAAAAGACAAGCCAAAAAAUUUAAAAACAUAUAAUAAAGAAUAUAUUUACAUAGAAGAUAUUAAACAUAUUUUAUAGACCUUAAACUACAAAUGACAAUAACCAAUUUCAUAUUCCAUAAAAAAUUUAAUAAAUUAAAUUUAGAUUAAAAAUUGGUAUUUAUGUUAAUUAUAUUUUUCUUAUGAAAAUUCUUAUUAAUCAUAUUUCUAAAACAUAUUAAAUAUGACUAAAUUAUGUAACUCACUAAAUUAUUUUUGAGGACAAUAGUAGCCAACGGCAAUUAAAGAAUAAUUUAAUUUCAAAAAGUUAAAAAAUUGAAGAAUAAAAAUAUUGCUGUAACAAAGACUACAACUUUAAAAGCAAAUGAUGACAAACCUUUAGGAUAACUUGAUAGCCUUUGUUUUACUAAGAUUUACAUAGCAUGCGGUCUAGAUAUGUUCACUAGGACCGAAAGAUGGAAGUUUCUAGAUAUUUUUCAAAAUUUAAGUAGUCAAUCUUAUAUAUAGUGUUUGUAAAGUUUGAUUCAUUGAUAAAGAUUAAUAAAAUUAUUUGGUUACAAAUUGACAAUUAUUUAUAAAUUUUAAAGUAAUAAUAAUAAUAAUAAUAAUAAUAAUAUAUUAUAAAAAGAAAACUAUUUAAAAGAUAAAAAUGAAUACAAAAAAAUUUAUCUAGAAAAAAAAACAAUUAUCUCUACAAUAAAUAUUACAAAAUAAUAGAAUAUUUUAUUACUACUUAAAUAAUAUUAUUUACAUACUUAAAUUUCCAAAGCAAAAUAAUUAAUUACCUAAUAUCAUUUUUUUAAAAAUGAUCUAAUAUAAAAAAAUUAAUUUGAAAAAGUCAAGGGGGCCUUUGCCCCCCUCAGUUUGCUGUGAACAGGGAGGGUCAAACCCGUACCACACCCGACCGGUUCCGUGGCAUCCCUAACUGCAUAUGAUAAUCUGCCUUGACACAUUUAUAUAAUCACUCAGUCUGGCCAAAAUGUUUGUCAUUUAGGUUAAUGCAUUUUUGUCCUAUAAUUUUUUUAUUUAUAAAUAACAUAAUUUUUAAUCGCAACUCGUUAUUAAUUAUUACGAAAAAUAUUUUUCUUAUCGCCAAAGUAAAGGAUAUUAUUUAUUGAUAGAAGGUACCGCUGGUACCAAGCAAAAUACAAAGAGCAGAAAGUCUUUAGCUAACCCUACAAAAUAAAUAGACCCCCUCAUGGUUACAAGAUAUCUAUUACGAAAAAUAUGAAUAUUUAAUAGAAAAUAUAACUAAUGCAUAACUGUAAUUGGAUUGGAGUUCAUCAAAAUUAUAAGACGAAUGUUACCACCAUUCUCUAACUAAUAUAUUUUCUUUAUUAUUGAUAAAAUAUUAUGAAAUCAUUUGUGAAAUUUAUUGAAAGAAAUUACUUAGCAGUAAAAAAGGGUUUUGCACAAAAAGCAUGCACGAAAAGGUAAGUAAAUAGUUACGCAUAAUGCAUGAUUUCUGUUAAAUAUCUCUGUCUUUCUUUUUCCUUUAAUUUUUAAAUAAUAAAAAGAAAGCAUCAUAUUUUAUUAUUGAUUUCGUAGUAACUUAAUUUUUCGUAAGAGAAGUUUUAAAUAUUACGAAAGAAAUUCGACCGAACUUAAUUUGUAUCAACCAUCCACCAUAAUUUUUUUUUAUCAAAUGCCAAAUUAAUUUUAUAUUUUUUUAACUUAAAAUUUUCAAUAAAAUAGUGUCACAUGCAUAUUACUGUGCUUUUUUAUACAAAAGAGUGUCAUACUACUAUUAUUUAGCAACUUUUUUUAGAAAUAAAUAGCAUUACUCUUUAGUCUUUAUUUAUCAAAAUAAGGAUUGUGACUUGUAUAGUUUCUUAAGUCUUGAUAAAUUUCAAUAAAUAAUUGUGUGUCGCUAAUCACACUUAUCAAACUAUAAUAUUUGCAUUUUCAAUUAUCAUGAAGUCUUAAUAUAGUUAACUAAAUGUAAGUUGUGAUCAGUUUCAAAAUUGUAGUUCUUUUAUCUACCAUCCCUAUUUUUUCUUAAAACCCUAGCUAGCUCCAUCAUCUGCAUCGUUGAACAACUAUUCACUUAAAAUACAUAGCAGAGAAUAAGGGAAUCUUCGAGUGUGUGUGGUUGGUAAUUUUCAAACAUGUUCACUGUAUUUCUAAACACAAUCAUAUCAGAUCCGGUUUCAUAUCAUAAAAAACGGGAAAGGUUUGUCAUGGAGUCUAAACAAAAACCUUAUCUUUUCUCACUACUUCAUAUAUAAGCUAAUUCAUUAGCACCAUUCAACCAGUUAAACCUUUUUUUUUUAUUGGUACAAUCAGUUAAACAACCCCUUAAAAUAUUGUUAACAUUUAUUGUAAUAAACUUCAUUUUGUAACACUUAUGAUGGCAGAAUCAAAGAGAAUAUACCACAUUCAUGACCGAAUGAAAAAAAAAUGAGGAGGAAACUGGAAACACAUGGAUGCCACAUAGACAAAUAAGGAACUAAAUAAGUGUAACGUGUUUCGGUUUUCAUCCACGCUCUUCCACCAUCUCACCCUCUCUGCUGCAUAAACAAACACAUAGAUGCCACAUUUCAGGCACGCGUUUGCAUGUGCAACCAUUAAUUAUCUAAGUGCGAAAAUUAUUUUAUGAUGAUGGAUAGUGACCCUAGUGUAAUUCGUUUUUUACUUAAUACCUAAACUCUUACUCGAAAGAUGAAGUUAAUUAUAUUUAAUACCUAAACCCUUACUUGAAAGAUGAAGCUAUAUAUAUUUAAGAAAAGAAUCUUUUAUUGAUUUUUCAGCAGUCACUUAUUAUUUAUUCAAAUACAUAAACAUGUAUGAUUACGUAAUGGAUGAUGACUCGUGUAUAUAUAUUCACAAGUCGAGAUCAUGAUCGCAUUAUCUAAUUAAUUUGUUAAUUGUUCCUAACAAGUCUUCACCAUCAUUAUGGUUGCUUUGUUUUCCCCUCCAGUGUUCUCAACCAAGGGAUGGCUCUUAGAAGAGGAUCCAUUAAGCUAUGAUGUGUCCUCUGAGUACUCAUUUCCCUAUCAAUUUUAUUCACCACAGACACAGAUUGAGCUUGAAAUUGAAAGGUCCACUUCUCCAUCCCCUGAAGACCCUGCCAUGGUCAAAAAGCUUAGCCACAACGCUAGUGAACGUGAUCGCCGCAAGAAGGUCAAUCACUUGGUUUCUUCACUUCGUUCACUUCUUCCAGUGGCUGAUCAAACGGUACUUUAAGUCCCUUCUUUAUAUCUUUUCCCUUUCAUCUUUUUAUUUAUUUAUUUUAAAAUUGGUAUAACCAUAAUCUUUUGUAGGAACCAAUUUCAAGAAAUUAAGAUUAAUGGGUUUCCAUAGCUUCCAUGAUCGAGAUUUCUAUGAUAUAUAAUUGUCCACUGAGAUGUUUAUCCAAUUCAUAAAAACAAAUAUUGUAUCUAUUCCAAAAUUAUGAUCAGUCAUUAGGAAACAAUUUUACAAAAAAUAUUCUUAUUCUAUUUCUUAAUUUCAAUAAAUAAUUUAAUAUUAAGUCUUUCAAAAUAAUAAUAUUUGUUAGAACUGAUUCAUACAACUCAUAAUAAUUUAUGUUCUUUAAUCAUGUAAUAAAAAAAUAUAUUUGUUAGAGAAUAAAAUUAGAAUAAAUAUUUUAAUAUCUUAUUGAUAACUUGAUAAUAUUAAAUAGUAUUACUUUUUUAUUUAAUGCAAAAACAUCCAUAAAAAAUAAUAUAUAUAUAUAUAUAUAUAUAUAUAUAUAUAUAUAUAUAUAUAUAUAUAUAUAUUUCUCCCGGGAGUGUAUAAUUAGAAAAAUACUAACUACAAAAAGAAAUAUAGACCAUUUUUCUUAGCUUCACAUAAUUUUAUAUACAAAAUAUGUUCUAGUACCUGUUUCUAUUUCCAUUUCCUAUGCAUUUAGGAGUCCGGUUAAUAUUAUAAACACUGACGACAACAAAUUACCAUAAAAAGCCACAAAAUCAUACUAACAAAAAGCAAAUGAUACUUCACCUAUUAAAUUGCCAUAAAUAGUUAUCUCAUUCCAUGUUAAUUAUUGUUGUUGCAGAAAAAAAUGAGCAUUCCGACUACAGUUUCGCGAGUCAUAAAAUACAUACCCGAGUUACAACAGCAAGUGGAAGCACUAUCUAAGAAAAAAGAGGAUCUUUUGUGCAGAAUUUCUCGGCAAUUGCAAGGAGAUGCAGUGAACAAAGAUUCUCAAAGGAGAAUUUCCCACCACAACUCUGAUUUUGUUGUUUCAACAAGUAGGCUCAACGAUUGUGAAGCUGUUGUUCACAUUUCCUCUUAUGAGGCUCACAAGGCUCCACUAUCCGAGAUCUUGCAAUGUUUAGAAAAUAAUGGCCUUCUUCUGCUAAAUGCUUCUUCCUCUGAAACCUUUGGAGGAAGGGUCUUCUACAACUUGCAUUUCCAGGUAUGUUUUAUGAUAUUUGUUUUUUCUUUUUUCUUGUUGGUUUAUUGUUGAUCUCCAGUUUUUCACUAUAUUUCUUACAUAAAACCUUUUAAAAGAAAAACUUUCAUUUCAAUUCAUAUAUUAUAUUUUAAAAGUUUAAGAUAACAUUAAUUAUUAGGUUUUUAAUUAUAUCCUUAAUUUUAUUCUUAUCAAGAAAAAAUAAAAAAGAAAUGACGGUGUAUGAAAUGUUAUUGAAGUAAUAAGACAGAAAAAGGACAUUUAACAAAAGGAAAUAUAAUAUUUGAAUUUGAGAACUAAUGAAGCAGUACUGGUGUUUCUGCAGGUGGAAAAAACUCAGAGAUUAGAGUCCGAGAUUCUAACUGAGAAGCUUUUGUCAAUAUAUGAGAAGCAAAGGAUUUUCUAAUCAAACUAAAGUUGGCCCUAAUUAUGUUGAUCAAACCAUCUUAAGUGCUCUGAUGUUAAAUUUUAGGAGUUAAAGAAAGAAUGUUGUAUAAACAUAAUUGUCUUCACGACUCAUAUGAUACUCGUGACAAAAGACAUACUCAGCAACAACUUGAGGAACAUUAACAACUGGCUCCUUAAUUUUGGUGCACCAGCAAGCACUGCAACAACCUUUCUGAUCUUUGCCAUGCUCUGUGAGCAAAGGCAGUGGUCGUGCUCACCCAUGUCUAGAUGCACUAUGGGCAUCAGUGACAUCAAUCGCUCUUUGAUGUGAACUCUCGUCCACUCUACAACCACCAAUUAUCAUAGGUGAAGUCAUUUUGUACAUGAAAGUUAAAAAAUAAGAUGUUAGGCCGAUUUUAUUUAAUGUAAUUGUGUGUAAUAAAAUACAUAUAAAUGCAAAUACAUUUAAUAUACUUUUUGUUAUUCCCUAAAAAUUUAUUGAAAGAUCUAAUAUUAGACCUAACAUAUUCAUUUAAGAUGUCAUCAAACAAUGAUUUAAUUAAUUUAAAUAUAGAUAAAAUUGAGAAUUUUUUAAAAUAGAAGGAUCAAAUAUAUUUAUUUUAAAAUAGAGAGACCAAAAUUAUAGAUGAAAGAAAAUAGGAGAGAUCAAAGUUGUAUUUAAGCAAAUUUUUUAAAAAGGUGGGGCUGAACUUAGCAAUUCAUUACUUUAGAAUAGCAAACCCUUUAACUAGAAUACAAAUGAGCCCAUUACCUUGUUGGUAAAUAUGUCUCUCAACCUUUUCGUGAUAACAUUUACCUUGGAGGGUCUAUUCCUACUAGUGACUAACUCAAGUUGUUAGCCCUUUUAAAAAAAAUAAAAACUCAAGUUCUUAGAGACCUAAGAGCCUAAUUGAUCGGCGGCUUACAUCACACUUGUGUCAUCUUGUUCUCAAAAGUCCAAGGUAGUUUUAAUUGAUAUGGUGAUUCAUAAUAGGCUACAGAAGGCGAUUUAAUAUUUAGGUAAGAGCUGUUUUAAUUUUACUCGUUAUGAAGGAUCGAAAUGAGGGAAUGUUGAAUGCCUUUUUGGUGUCAAAGCCAUUAUUUUUUAGGAGAGUAGGAGCCUAAUUUUUAGUUUUGUUCAUAUAUUUUUUAGGUCAAAACGCGACUAAAUUUGCUUAGAAUUAAUGUACAAAAUUGUUGUGGAUUGUUUAUUUUUGUAUAUGGAAAGGCGAAAACAUAUAGAUAUUUCCAAUAUUAUCUAGUAGGGUGCCAAUGAUAUGUUGGUACUUUCAAUAGAAACUCACAAAGAAGACUACUGCACAAGCCUAAAUCGUAAGCAAUUUUACUCAAUCGUAACUACGUACUCAAUUAUUAGUCUUUGGAUACAAGGAAAUUUUCUUGCGGAGGGUUGUUUCCACCAAGAGGAAUUUUAGUAUUAUUAAGGAGAAUCAAAGUUACAUCCAUGAGGUGGAUAAAAGUUAAUUCUAAAUCCUUGAUCACUUGUGUUAAUCAACAUUAGCUAGAUGAUUAUUUUUUACAUUCUGUUUUAGUAUUUAUAAGAUUAUCAAACUUGAGAGUUUACCUAAUUAAACGUGUGGGAACUCCAUAAAUUCUACUCGUAAAUUCACAAGAGUUUACUUCAUAUAAAAAUAAUAAUAAAAUACUUAUAAAUAAUAUAUCAACUAAAUAUUUUAACACCAUAAUAAAACAAAAUAAUAAAUCAUAAAUUCUACCAUACUUCAUAGUAAUGCAACACUACUACGUAGUAAUUUGUAGAGGUGAUAGUAGUAGUAGAAUAUUACUAUUGAAUAUUUGAUGUUGUUAGAGGUGAAAGUUCUUUAAUUCAGGAACGACACACCAAAUGAAGGUAGGUAAAAUUCUAAAGCGCAAAAAACAAUCCAAAAUAACUUACAUUUUGAUAUAUUUUGUUAACUUGUUAACUCCUUGACUCAUUAAUAAACUUGAGAGUCUAUCGAGUUUGCACUGAGUUUAUUCCGAAUCUACUAAAAAUAAAAUUUGUAUAUGAGUUGAUUCAUAGAGAAUAAGAGGACUCAUAAGAGUUAGCAAGUUAACUAAAAAAUUUAAUGACCAUUAGUGUGUAUAUGAGCUAAUUUUUUUAAAAAACCUCAUAGAAACUAAAGUGAAAAAGAAAAAAUGUGUUAUGUACAAAGAUAAUAUUAAAAAAAACGAGUAACGUUUUCUCAAAUAAUAUAAAAAACAAAACCAAAAUUUCAUUAGCCCUACACACGAUCGUAGUAAACUUUUGUCUCACAGUUGUAAUAUGAGAUAACAAAAGGAACCAUCUCCAAACCCUUUGGUUAAGGGAUCAUAUACUAAAAGGUUUUUAGUAUUUAAACGAUGGAAGAUAUGAGUUUAAAUCUUUGAUUGAAAAAAUUAAUAAUUAAUAACUAAUAUUUAUUAUUGAUAAAAAAGAAGUCAAUGAGUACAAAAAGAAGAGAGACGAUCGACAAAGACAUGUACAUACGGACGUGGGAAUAACUUGUAUUUAAUACAGUCAUCUUGGUUAAACGACGUAUAUAUUGUUACUAACUUCAAAACUGCUUUAUCUAGAAAGUUAGUACUAUUAUUAUUUAUUAUCAUGUACUACCUAAUAUAACUGACGGAUAUAAUACAACUCUACUGGGUCUUGCAUGCAUCAUCAUAUUUUGCUAUGUACGCUAAAAUUUAAAAUUCCCAGCCUUAAAUAAUAAACCCGUGCAAACCAUAGGCAAGGAAGCCGAAGGCUUGUGUAUAGCAUGCAUCGGCACGUGCAAUUCAAAGAAAACAAAUCGGUUUGCCUACAAGUGCCUGCUUAUGACAUAUUCAUAUAAUUAUUUGGUGUGGCCAAAAUGUUUGCCAUUUAGAUUAAUGCAUUUUUAUCCUAUAAACUUUUAUGUACAACAUGAUUUUAAAUCGCAACACGUUAUUAUUAUUACAAAAAAUAUAUGGAUUUUUAAUAGAAAAUAUAUAACUUAUGCAACUGUAAUUGGAUUGAAUUUCACCAUGCAAUGGAAGUUCGUAUACUCUUACCCAGUUACCCGCACUUGUUUUCUUCUCAUUUCUUUCUCAUUUGAAUGCCAUCAAACAGAGCAUAAAUGUAAGUUGUGACUAGUUUCAAAUUAAAAUUGGUGUUGUUACUUUCAGCUUUUAUAUAUACCAAUACCAUCCCUUUUUUCUUAAAAUCCCAGCUCCAUUUUUUGCAUCGUUGACCAACUUUUCACUUAAAAUACAUAUAGCAGAACCUAAUUAAGGUGAUCUUCCAGUGCAGUGAUUUUAAAUUACGGUCCGUAACCUUAAGGUAUUUUUUCGCAAUUACAGCUACAUCAGCCACAUUUUCUCACAAUUAUCAGUAAUGCAACUGUUUUCUAGUUUAUCGCAACCGCAAUUUAAAAUAAUGCAGGACCUGAAUAUAUAUGGAAGUGUGUGUAUGAAUUUUCAAAGUGGUUCACUAUAUUUGUAAACACAAUCAGAUCGGUUGAUAUAAAAGAUAAAACAUGUGGAAAGGGAGAAAAUUAAGAGUCGCAACCAAAACAUGUUAAUGUAAUCAGCGAUAUCGUCUACAUCUCAAAUAAUGUAGAAAAUGCUUCUGAAAGGUUAGAAUAUUGGGGUGGAUGACAUGUGAUACUAAUUAAAGGCUAUAAUUUGUUUCUUUUUCUUCUGCAAGCGUUCUUUUGUAACAAGGGCGAGGCAGUAAAUGCAUUUAAUUUGUGGCUUCUCUGCAAGAAAUUAACUAAUAACCAGCCAGGUUUGCAUGGUUAUUAUAUUGUCUUAUUGGCUCCAUUUAAUCAGCUACAAUUGUUAAAAUAUUUUUAAGACUUUUAGCAAUAAACUUCAUUAUGUAACACUUAUGUCGUUGGCAGCAUAGCAGAGAAUAUACCAAUAUACCAAACUCCACACAUUCAUGAAGAAAAAAAGGGAUGCCACAUAGACAAAUAAAGAACUAGAGAAAUGUAUCGUGUUUAGGUUUUUCAUACACAUGCUCUCCCACCUUCUCACCCUCUCUGCUACAUAGACAAACACGUAGAUGCCACAUUUCAGACACGCUUUUGCAUGUGCACCUAUAUAGUUCUCUAGAACCAAAAUUAUUUUAUGAUGAUGGAUAGUAAUCCUGCAAUUAUUAAAUAUCUUAACUCCUACUUGAAAGAUGAAUUUAUAUUUUGAAUAUUCCAAGUGACGAGGAGAAACAAGAAUACUUUAUUGAUUUUUUAUCAGCCACUUAUUAUUUGUUCAAAUAUAUAAACAUGCAUGAUUACGUAAAAGGAUAUAAUGACUUGGGUAUAUAUAUAUGUUCUUAUUCACAAGUCGAGAUCAUCAUAGCAUUAUCUAAGUAAUUUGUUAACUGCUCCUAAGUCCUAAUUAACAAAUCUUCAUCAUCAUCAUGGUUGCUUUGUUUUCCCCUCCGGUGUUCUCAACCAAGGGAUGGUUCUUAGAAGAAGAGCCAUUAAGCUAUGAUGUGUCUUCAGAUUACUCAUUUCCCUAUCAAUUUUUUGCACCACAGACACAGAUUGAACUUGAAAUAGAAAGGUCCUCUGCACCAUCCCCUGAAGACCCUGCCAUGGUCAAAAAGCUUAGCCACAACGCUAGUGAACGUGAUCGCCGCAAGAAGGUUAAUGACUUGGUUUCUUCACUUCGUUCACUUCUUCCUGGGCCAGAUCAAACGGUACUUUAUAUCCCUAGCCUCUCUCUCACAAUAAUUUGUCCUUUCUUUAAAUUGUUAGCCAUAAUAUUUUGUAGGAACCAAUUUCAAGAAAUUAAGAUGAAUCGGUGCCCUUAAUUAGCUUCCAUGAUGGUUUAUAAGACAUAAUUGUCAAACUAUAUACGUUUAUUCAAUUCAUUUUUUUUAACGGAUGUUUAUUCACUUCAUAACAAAUACUGAAACUGGAUUUGCUUGUUUCACAUUUGAUCCUUUAUACAAGUGCAAGUUUAAGGGAUAGGUUUAUUUUUUAUUGUGCAAGAAACUCGUAUAGCCAGAAAUUACUUAUUAAUUAGAUGGUAUUAUUGCUCUGUGUUUUAUUUUCAUUUUUAAUUAAUAUGUUGAUAUCAUAAAAAAAUUAAUUACAUUGGUUAUUUUAUGUUUAUAAGAAUAUUAACAAAAGAAAUUAUAAAGAAAAAGCAAUCACCAUUUCUUCACAUUAUUUUUUUUUAAAAGAAAAACAAAGACAGAGUAGAUAGUGCUUUUACUAUUACAAACAAAUUAAUACAUAUCAACCACAAAACUAUAACAAAAAGUGAAUGAAACUACAUAGCUGUUUCAUCAAUAGAGAUCUCAUUCCUUGUUAAUUAAUGUUGUUGCAGAAAAAAAUGAGCAUUCCAGCUACAGUUUCGCGAGUUUUAAAAUACAUACCUGAGUUACAACAUCAAGUGCAAGCACUAACUAAGAAAAAAGAGGAGCUUCUGUGCAGAAUUUCAAAAAAUCUCAAAGGAGAUUCGGUGAACAAAGAAUCUCAAAGGAGAAUUUCCCAUCACAAUUCUGAUUUUGCUGUUUCAACUAGUAGGCUCAACGAUUGUGAAGCUGUUGUUCACAUUUCCUCUUAUGAGGCUCACAAGGCUCCACUAUCCGACAUCUUGCAAUGUUUAGAAAAUAAUGGCCUUUAUUUGCUAAAUGCUUCUUCCUCUGAAACUUUUGGAGGAAGGGUCUUCUACAACUUGCAUUUCCAGGUAUCUUUUAUGGUAUUCCUUUUAUCCUUUUUGCUUAUUGUAGUAGUCAAAUUUUUACUCUCUAGCUUGUUCUUGCAUAGCCUUUUAUAAGAAAAAGUUUCAUUUCAAUUAAUCUAUUAUUUUAAAAGUUUAAGAUAACAUUAAUUAUUAGGUUUUUAAUUAUAUACUUUUAUUCUUAUCGGAAAAAAUGAUGUGUAUGAAAUGUUAUUGAAGUAAUAAGACAGCAAAAGGACAUUUAACAAAAGGAUAAUGCUAAUGCUAAUUAAUGUGCUAUGGCAUUGGUUAAUGAUUAAAAAUACAUAAAAAAAAUUAUAAGAAAAUAUAGCAUUUAGUGUUAUAAGUACUUUAUAAUUUGAGAACUAAUGAUGUACUGCUGUUUCUGCAGGUGGAAAAAACUCAUAGAUUAGAGUCCGAAAUUCUAACUGAGAAGCUUUUGUCAAUAUAUGAGAAGCAAAGGAUUUUCUAAUCAAACGAUCUUAAGUGCUCUGAUGUUAAAUUUGACACCUAAAAGAGUCUUCACAUAUUUGUCAUGCAUGAAUGGCAAGUUCGGAAAUUAGAAUGGAGUAAUCACAUCACAUGCCGCUUCUAUAUACAUAUGAUUUGGUAAAAAAGCAAGUGGCCGGCAGGAAGGUGCAUGGAUUUUAGGAGGAGUUAAAGAAAAGAAUAUUGUAUAAACAUAAAUGUUACAAUCAGCCUCACGUAGCAAAGUGUGACACCCUCUUUUCUCACAAAUAUAUGUACUAAUAAUGAAAGGAAUAGAAAGUUAGAAUUAAUGAAAAGUUUUAAAACACAUUUAAAUAAAAGCAUUUCAAAAAGGAUAAAAGGUUUACAUUCGUUUUUCUAGCAUUCUAAUAAAACUUAUUUAAAUAAAUAAUAAAAUCAUCUUCACUCAAAAUCAGGUCGUCCAAACUGAAUGAAAAGAAGUCAAACUAAUAGUAGAAAACAUAAAAUAACUAUAUUAUUCAUGAAAUUGUAACAUAUGAUAUAAAACUUCAUGCACCGAUAUCACAUCUAUCAGAACAUUUUCCUGACCAACAUGGAACUCAUCAUAUGCUGACUCACUUGAAACAAAAUGACAUUCAGCCCAAACACAAAACACACACCGAGAAUGAGUUAUCACAUUUGUAUAUAAUAAAAUAUUAGAGCAUGUAAAACAUAUAAAUACAUAGAGUUAAAUUUACAUAAACAACAUCACUUCACCAAACCACACACAAGUAUUCAUACUUAUUCAAAUUUACACUCCAGAAAAUAACACCAAAAUCUUAAUCGUUAAUUCAAUGAAAGUCAAACACAAGUGUUAUGUCAUAGAUAUACUAGACUCAAGCCUACAUGCAAUGUGAUACCAUUUUCAGUGAAAAAUCUCGUCGAGCGUCUAAGAGUACAUGACAAGACAUGUCUCACAGUGGGCAAGUCAAGUCACUCUCACUAAGUGAAAUCAUAGGGAGACCAAUCAGAAUCACACUGUUUUACAAGAAUGUUCCAACCAUGCGGAAUCAACUUAGGCUUAAAGGAGUACUUAAACCGAGUGUAUUUAUCCCCAAGGCCUUGACUCCAAGGAGUCCAUCAGGGCCUCUCCCUCAUAAUUCAGGUCCAACCCAGAAAAUAUUUUAACACACAGGCUCUACCUACGAACUAUCCAAUACACACAACUACUCAAUUAUUAUCAAAAUCUCAAUUAUUUUUAAAAUCAUUUUAACUUGUCGCACCUCAAGUAAUUAAACUCAUUGGGUUCCCACAGUGGAAUCCAUCACAAAAUUUGUCGCGCCUUAAGUUGUCGCCCUUAAAAGGUCUUACAGUUGUAUGAUCACCGAACUCACAACUCAAUAUACAUGUAUCUCAAGUGUAACCAUAAUAUUCUCAAACUUCAACACUUGAAUAAUUUUUGAAAUCAUAUUAUAACAACACUACAAUAUUAUUAACAUCAAAUAUAUAUAUAUAUAUAUAUAUAUAUAUAUAUAUAUAUAUAUAUAUAUAUAGUUAACAAAUAGAUAAGCAUGUAUUAUAAUAAUAAAAUACAUCUAACUUCAAAGAUUUAAACUUCCAACUUCUCUUAAACAUAGGGAAGGUUAAGGGCUUAGGAAAUACUGAAUUUGGACUUCUAUGAGACUUAUAAAAUUAGGGGAAGUGUCUCAAAUCAAUAGCUCUAACAUUGAGCAUCUCAAAUUAGCAAAAAUAGGAGCUGAACUUAAAUUUGUCCUCUCCCUAAACUAUCCUACAUCUCUUAUCAAAAUAUUUGUCAAAUAUUCUAGGAACCUCUAAAUAUUAAGGGAUUAGUUUGGCUAGUUAUUAGAGUACACUUAAAACUAUUAUUAUGUGAAAACACAAGCUAUGGUUCAUUUAGGUUGUUUUCAUGAAGUUAGGGAGAACCAAACAAUACCCAUUAUGUAAUUAUGCAAUGCUGCAGCAUAUAAAAAAAAUUGAUUUUUUGUGAACUACCUAAAUCUUGUUAUGCUUAAAUGACUAUAAAGGUUUGGUAAAUUUGAAGUUCAGUCCCCCACGUCCCUUUAGACUACAGGAUAUGUUCCUCUUCAUUAACUUGAGACCAAAACCCUUUAUUUGAACUAAAACAGUAGAUAUGUUAAGACAAUUUUGCAUAAAAGUCUUUUUCACAUGUCUGACAAAUAUAUUUCAAAAAUAUUCAAUGGAACAUUAAAAAUUAUGAGAUUAAUGAGGUUAGAAAAAGGACUCCCAGAACUAAAGAACUAGGAAAUAGUAGCUUCUAACUCCUUGAGACCUAUUUAUAGGAAUAUGUACAAGACAACGCCACUACUAGAAUAGUUGCAUUCUACAUUGGUUAACAACCGUCAUCGAAGACGACAUCGUAAAAAGGGGUAGGGUAUUCUACGACAGUCACACAGACCGUCUUAGAAUGGGUAUAUUUCUAAGACGGUCACCUAUGAAUGACUGUCUUAGAAUGGUAUGCAUUUUAUGACGGUCAUGCGGCAAGGACCGAUGUAGAAUGGUACCCAUUCUACGACGAUCACGCGGCAAAGACCGAUGUAGCAUGGUACCCAUUAUAAGAAGGUCCUUCGUGGCAAAGACCGAUGUAGAAUCAUACACAUUCUAUGACAGUCAUACGACAAAGAAUGAUGUAGAAUGAUAUGCAUUCUACGAUGGUCAUACAACAAAGACCGAUGUAUAAUGCAUUUUUUUUUUAUUAGAGCUAUUUUUUUAGGUAUUCACAAACUUUAAACGUUCAAAUACCUGCAAUAAACACAUGACAAUAUGAAAUUAAAUAAAUUUUAUGCAAUCAAUAUGGAUUAUUCAAAUCUUUUCUAGUUUGAAGCACUUUGAAAAGUAAAAUGAAUUCCUAUAUGUAUUGACCUGUUUUACUAGCUCCACUUACACCCAUCAAAGUAGUCUUACUAGCUCCACUUACACCCAUCAAAGCUGUGAGAACACUAAGCCUGAAUGCACCACUAACACCCUUCAAAAUUAAGCACGAAUCUCUCCUCUUGUAGACCUUGUUCCUUCAUUUCCUGCCAGUUGAAAUUAAUUGAGUUAAAAACGCAAAUUGCUUCUGGUUGAAGUAGAUUCCUAAUAGAAAUAAUAGAAACACUAUUAGAAAUGUAACAUGGUAAAUUUAUAACUUUGAAUAUUAUUUUCGUGUGGCAUGUCAACAGAGUAUACGACUUCAUCAAAGGUGAAUGAAUGUGGCUUGAAAGGAAGAACCAUUCCUUUUUUUUUCUUUCCAUGCAUGUUUGGACUCCAGUACAAGAGAAUGACCUUUUCCUGAACUUUGUGCGAGACAUUUGAAAAAGUGUUCAACAUCUUGAGGUAUAUUAUGAAUUGUUGCUACUCAAAGAGUAUGCUUGACAUUGAGUAUUCAUGAGUGAUUUAUAAGUGUAAAAUACCUUACCUAUGCGUGGUAAUUCAAUAUCUGCUACGGUUCCUUCGUUAGGUGAUUCAUCUUCAGUUAUUGUUGCUUGUGGCUUAUCAAAUGUUGCAUGGACAUUCAGAUGCAUACUUAUUAAUAAAACCUGCCUACAUUGCUUUUCUGAAAGUGAUAAAAUUUUCAUUUAUUUUUCUAGCUAUAGAAAACUACAUUCUAUCAUUCUAUAUAAACAACAACAAAUAAUAAAAAUUAGGCAUGAAUAGAACAAGAGAGUAGGGGAAUAAAAGAGAAAAGAGUUUUCAAAAUCCAUAUACAAGUCAUCCACACCCAUCUUUGUUUCAUUAAUGCAAUUUUGUUGAUUCAAGCUAAGUUCCAUAAUUUAUAAGUACAAAUGAUUUGAAAAGUAGUCACGACCAAGGAAUUGAAGAGCAAGACCAAACAUCACAUUUAAAAGGAACACACGAGACUCCAUAUAUUCAACUCUAGUGCCCCUAAGCCUAACCAAUACCAAUAUGAAUCUGUGAAGAACGCACGAGACUCCAGAUAUUCAACUCCUAAAUUGUGGGUAGCCUGUAUUUGGAGAGCAAAAACAUUAGAAUCGCACUUUUGCUAACCAAAAUAAUACAAAUUUUGAAGUAGUGAGUUCAAGAAAUUACGUUGUGCCAACUAUUUGAAAGAAAUUCAUUGACCAAGGUAGCAUUUUACCCAUACAUUAAAUGUGAAAUCCAGUAACCCCUAAUCCACCAGCUUUUGAUAUCCCAUGUUUCAUUGACAAUGAAAUGCAGAAGCAUUACCUUAGGUUUGUUUAGUAUGAUAGAAAUGCAACAAUUUUUUUGUCACAUGUUCAUGUUAAUCGAACUUACUUUUUGACAGAAUGAAACCACCGAAUGCAUCAACUGUGAUAAUUGCAAAGGCUCCAAAUGUGUUGGCAACAAUCAUGUUCAAGAACCUGCACAAAAUUCAAGAACUCACAUCAUAAGUAACACGAAAAUUAGUAGAAGCAACAAUAUUUGCAUGCUUCUAAUUGUUUAAAGUAGUUUCUUUAGAUGUGAUCAUUUGGAUCAGAUCCAAUAACAUAGUAGGUGAGGAAUACCCAAACACAAACCUCCACAAAAAUCAACAAUUAUACAUCUUUUAUACUUUUUUUGAAUAUGAGCAGCAAUGGUUCUAAAACAAAACCAUUUGAGUUGCCUGUUUCCGCCUUUCCGCUCGAUCACUACAUCUGAAGUUCAAAGUCGCAGCCGUAGGGUUAACAUUGGACUUUGUUGAAUUGAAAACUUGAUUCGUCCUAUAUAAACCUUAUUAUGUUACUCUUAUAUUAGAAUGAAAUAAAACAAAAGAUUAAUCGUUACAUAUGUCAACAAACUUGUAUGCUUCUUGAAUUCCUCUAGAAGCUAUUUUUGAAGCAAAAAGCUGGGAUUCUGCAUCCUUUCUUACUUUUGAUGCAUUUUCAGUAUGAAAAAUUAAAACCACGUAUGACUGAGUCAAUCUAAAGCAUAUAAUAUAACUUGAGAGAAUGAAUUUGAAGCAUACCUAGUAUAACAAUUCCAACUGAGAAACAACAAAUACGUCUUGCUUUCACGAACAAGUUUCUCUGCACUUUUAGAAACCAGCACGUGGAGGCCUAUAACUUAACGGUCAUAGCUGAAAAUUCAGAAGCAAGCCAUAUAGCACAGAAAUUAUAAUUAAAAAUAAUGAAAUUAAAUUGUUACCUCUUUGGUAGUUUUGCUAGCUAAACAAGUAGUUGGUGUUCCAAGUUUUCAUGAAUUCUUUUCCAUUUGUACAAUAAACUAUCAAUCAAAGAUGAAUUCCAUAAAGGUUGGCCUAAAAUUAUUCUAAAUUAGGUUCCACUCAUUGAGAAUACAAGGCGUAUGGAAUAAUAAAUUAUUAGAAUAAAGAAGAAAGUUCUGAUAAUUAGGUUCCACUCACUGUUGCAAAGUAAUUGUGCAAGAAAAGUGAUGCACUACUACAAUUUUGCGGCUUUAAUUCUUUUCUAUGCGGGUAACAACCCCCUUCAACUCCAGGAUCCAGUUGCAAGUCAUAGAAAAUUAUGAGGUUGUCAUUUCAUAUCAUGCACAAUAGAGAUAUCCAUGUUACAAGGACAUUGCACUUACACUCAUUCUCAACCAUGUAAGACCAUUAAUAAGCUAUUCCUACGAUGGUCCUAGGUCAAAAACCGUUGUUGUCUUAAUUUUACGUAAUUACAAGAUUGCCACCCCAGACAUUCUAAGAUAGUUAUUUAUAACCGCCUUAGAAUGUACAAUAUAAAAACUAAUUUUUGUUCGCCUAAUUACAAAAUUGUCACCGCGUCAUAUUCUGAAACAGUUCUCCAGAACCGUCGUAGCUGACGCGAUGUAGAAUGCAGCUAUUCUAGUAGUGCGCCUUUGCUGUCAAAAUUUGACAGCAAUUGUCUAAGACUUUUAAUUCCAUUCUUACCACUAAAUGAAUUCCCCAUCCUUUGGACUUCAAAACAUGUUUUACUAUGAUACUUAACAUCUAAACAUUUGCUAAUUAGGAAUCCUAGCUGCAUAUAUUCCAUGUAUUCGUAUGAACAUAGAUUUUAUUCACCAUUGUUUCCUUAAUUUAGAAAUUACAAUGCUUAAACUCUCAUUUUAUCUUUACUCAUUUUUAACAAGCAGCUUGAUUAAUUCAUGAACUCACCUCUUACAUUUUUUCCUAAUUAAGUGACCAUCCCCUGUCAAUGAAGGCUGGUGAAUGUUCACUCACAUACAUACAUGUGAAAAAAUAUAUAUAUGCACCCACAUUCAGAUAUUGGAUAACAUAUAGAUAACUAAUCCAUGACUCAUUCAUUUUCUUUAUUACUACGUAUAAAAUUAACGAAACAAUAUCCAAUCAAUGUCUACCUUUGGCAUAUCUGAUUUACGCACAAGGAUAACAAAUAUGCAAUCUCGAGAAUUUAUGAAUGAUUAGAAACAAACUAUUGUAACACUCAAAUAUCUCAUAUAAUAAAAUACUUAGGCUAUUUUAGAAAUUACGCUAAUUAAAAAAACUCAAUUUCUAAGAUUUACACUCAACACAAGAACAUAUUAAUUUCACAAUAAUUUCGCAUCACGACAUCAAUUGGUCCCUCUAACACAGUCGAUUCGCGAAUAAAAACAUAAGAACAAAAUUAAAUUUUAUAAAAACAAUGCAAAAUUGAUUUUUUAAGGAUCUCUACAUAUAUUCAUUCUAAUUUCUAAGCAUGAGUAACUCAUCCCUUACCUCGAUGUAGUCGCUCAAGUGUUCUCUGUUAGCAAUGGUGGCAUUUCGAGUGCUUUCUAGAACUCCUCCUCCGAUUACUCUGGUAGGAUUCUUGAAUAUCAGAGAAAAAAACAAAAAGUGUAGAAAAUAUUUUGUAAAAAUGUUCCAGGAUUAAAAGUUUUUUUAUACAGUGAGAAAUUAGAUGAGUUAAUUCUUAUUCCUAUUUUUUUAAUUUAUUUUAUUAAUUAUAAAAAUACUAUUUUCUCUCUAUUAAAAAAUAAAUGAAUAAAUAAACCUCUCUCUUAUUUUCUAAAAUUGUUAAAAAAACUCGUAUUUAUUAUUUAUUCCUAACCUCUAUUUUUAUUUAAAUAAAAACUCAUUUAUUUUAAUUAAAAUCCCUUUUAAUAUUUUUUUUUACCAAAAAAAACGGGGUAUUACACAAAUUGCUAUUAAUUUUGUCUCUUUCCUUUUAUUACAAAGUGUAGGCAGAAAAGUUUAGAGUUCAGUUCUCAGUUUUCUAAAUUUGACUUAUAUCAGGGUAGAAAUAUAAUAUGAUUUUUUUAAUCUCAUUUCCUUAAUUAAUGCCAUGAUUUAACCUUAUAAAGUAAUAAGAUCUUCUUGUCAAUAAAGAUAAAAGUGUGAUAGUUUAUUUAUAUCACAAUGCUUUAUAUGACAAUUUUUAUAAUAAAAGUUUAAUUAAAAAAUCGUCUCAAAAUUAUUCCUUUUAAUUCUUAUAUAUAUAUAUAUAUAUAUAUAUAUAUAUAUAUAUAUAUAUAUAUAUAUAUAUAUAUAUAUAUAUAUUGAAAAAAUAUAUUGUUCUAUGAAUUUAUAUUAUUCUGGAAGUAAUUUAUGGAGGUAAGAUGUGAAAGGGGUAUAUUUGUAAUAAGUGGAGGUAUAUUUACCAAUCGCUUUGUUUUUAACUUAUAAUAAAAUAAAUAAUAGGAUUACUUGCUUGGGCUUGGCCCGGAAACAGAGAUAUAGUGUUUCUUGCCCUGGGCUCAAUUUUGAACGUUAUCUGGCGGAUGUCUAGGUUUUCGUUUGUCAAAUUAUGUUUUUAGACUUUUUUUCUGAAAGAAAUAUGUUUUUAGUCUUUUUUUUUUCUGUAAGAAACAUGCUUUUAAGCUAUUCACAAAAGAGUAGAGAUUUUGGAGAAAAAAAGAAAGAAAAGAAAAGCUUGGCUCUUGUAACUCUUGCUACAUUGUAAUGGGAUUCCAUUGUAGCAGAAUUAAUUAAUUUGAUAGCCUCGCCUUUCGUAUUUCUGAUGAAAAUAUAACAUUAUUUUAAGUUGAACAUAUACUGCUCUUCAAAAAAGUAAAAUAAUACUGGAUUGAAACCUGGAAAAAAAUUGGUUAUUUUUUAUUUUUUUAUAAAAUCCCUCAUACUUUUGUAUCAAAUGCCCAUGCAAUAUCCAUUGAGAAGGAGGGAAGAGAGAAAUAAAUAAAUAAGUAAAGAAAGAAAGUUAUGAAUGUAAUAAAUAGUGUGAUGAGAAAAUAAGGUUAAAAUAAAAAGAAAACAAGAUAGAAAUGAGACAAGAAAGAAAGUGGGUGUAUGUUUAUAAUAAGUUUUGGUUUAUAUAAAAAAAAUGUUAUUUAUUAUUAAAAAGAUUACUUUCCUCUUUUACUUUUUUUAUUUUUCACAUUAAUUCUUUUAUCAUAUUUCUAUUUCAAACUACUAUUAAAUUAACACAUUAACAAGUUUUUUUUGCAAGUGUAACAAUUUUAUUACAAGUAGUAAAUAUUAAAAUGAAAGUUCAAGUAUCGAAUUCAUAGAAACUUUGGUCGUACUUAAGUGAUGCAAACCUAAUAAAGUGAAUGUAUCUUUAUAAUAAGUUUUGGUUUAUAUAAAAAAAAUUGAAAUGUUAUUUAUUAUUAAAAAGAUUACUUUCCUCUUUUACUUUUUUUAUUUUUCACAUUAAUUCUUUUAUCAUAUUUCUAUUUCAAACUACUAUUAAAUUAACACAUUAAAAAGUUUUUGUUGGUAAGUAUACCAAUUUUAUUACGAGUAGUAAAGAUUAAAAUGAAAGUUCAAGGGUCGAAUUCACAAGAACUUUGGUUGUACUUAAGUGAUACAAAUCCAAUUUUUAAGCAAUGAGAAGAAAUAGAAGAAAAAAGAGAUAAAAAAUUAGAAGUGUGAAAUUUAGAAUAAGGCAAAGAGAAAGAUAACAGGAAAAAUAUAAAGAACAAUUUAAUGUAAAAAGAUGAAAUCAGAAUGUGAUGAUGUUGGGGCCUAGCAUGCUAAAACUACUUAUGAUGUAAUGCAGUAGAUUUUCUCUAAUUUAUGAAAUUCAUGUUUCCAUCCGCAUCUACUGAAUUACCCUAUCUUUGGUUUCCCGCACGAAGGGCCUAGUUUAUUUAUCAUUUUCCCCCAAAUUUCUUUGCAGAUAUAAAAUAACAAAACGCAUUUAGAUUAGAGAUGCAAAAAUUCUUGGGCAAAAUAAAAAUCAAAUAUAUUUCUAGCAAAGAAUUUAUUCAGAUACCUUUUCCCAAUUCUUUAAAAAGUAAUAAUUUUUCAAUGCAUUACCCUCUAAACAUUAUAUGGAUACACAUAAGCACAAAGAAGAAUAAUAGAAACAGACCAACAUUAAUUAGAUAAUAGAUAGAGAAUUACAUUACAAGAGUUUGACUUUCAGGCUUCCAACAAUGGGGAUUUAGCCUCUUAUAGUCAUGAGAGGCUUUACACUUUAGGGGUUAAUAGAAGAAGGGGAUGGAUGACUAAUAGCAAGAAAGACAAGAAUGACUAAAGAAAUAGGAUUUCCUAUAAGGGAGAGACUCAGACUUUGGAUUUUUUCACUAGAGAGCUCUCAGACUUGACAUGUCUUUUCCUUUUGCUUCCUACUCCUUUUAUAGGCAUGAGGUAGCAUACUUUUCACUUUGAUUUCGUGUUAAGCCUGCCUUGGCCGCAGAGCGAGACUGCACGCUAAGCGAGACUUCACGUUGAGUCUGGUUUUACCCGUUAAGCGAGAGUCGCGCGCUGAGCCUGGAUUACGCGCUGUCCAAUUCUUCCAACUCUUCUUCAAUGUUUUUUCUUCCACAUUUUUUUAUCAAUUUUCCUCUAAAGCACUUCAAUUCUUCUUCUUUUGACUUUUGCUAAUAAAAAAUUACAUAGAUGUUAAUUUUUUUCGUUAUAUCAUUAAAAACAAUAAUAAAGUGAAGAAAUUAUUAUCAUUAUUAGCAAAAAAUGACUAUCAAUUUAGCUCAAAUUUCGUAAUUAUCACACUUUUUUUCAUUUAUUUUAUUUUGUUAAUAUCAUGGACAUAUUGAUCUCAAUUGACUUCUAAAUAGUAAAAAUAAUGUUAAAUAUAUAUUAAAUGGGAUGAAAUUGGAAAAAUAUAUUGACAUAUCAUUAUUUAAGCAUUGAGAAAAUAAUAUUUUAAUGUUUUAGUCACAAUGACAUUGAUGUGUUUUGCUGAUGAUUAAUAAUCUUUGUCAAAAAAUUUGACUAAUCACCUUUAAUAAGAUUUUCAUUUUCAAUUAUGUGUUUUUUCAUAACAAGAGUCAAACCCAAAAUCUUAUUUAAGAAAAUUGAAUUGGGUACUUGUUAGCUCGAUUGACAAGUGUACCAAUUCGCCCAAGUAGUAAUUAAAACGGUAAGUCCGAGUAUCAUGUCCACGGGGAAUUUAUUAUACUUAGAUGAUGCAUAUUCAGUUUGUAAAUAAUUUUAAUUGCAGUGUAAUAAAAUGGAAUAACUCAUUCAUAUUUCAAAUUCCUGAAUUAAUUUUUCUAAUCUUAAAAACACAUGACAAGACAAACACAAAAUUGUAAAAUAGCACGAAUACCAAGGUGAAUAUGUCAGACAGUAUUCUAGUGAACUUUCUCUUGACGUAACUAAAUAAGUUUUUUUCUCUAAUUAAUAUUGUUCUAAUGUUCUUUGCACCGUUAAAUUACUUUAAUCGUAAUUCCUCACACGAAAGAGCCUAGCCCUUUUAGUUUCAUUCUUGAUUCCUCAACAAACUCAUUCUAAGCAAGCUGCAUUAAGCAAAAGAUGCAACAUUUACUAUAUUACUACACAUCAUUCCUAAAAAUAUAGGCCUCUAGCUACUCUACCAAGUUCUAAGGACUAAAAGCAUUUUCCAAUACUCAAAGCCUAACAAAUAUAUAAAUGGGUUGCCACAAAUAUGAAAAAUAAACACAAAUAAAAGCAGAGAACACUAGCAAUAGUAUUAAAUAGAUAGUUAGAAUUUUUAAAUCAAGAGUGCUUAGUGAAAAAACUCCCCAACAAUGAAGUGUUUAAUCCUCCAUUAGCAAGGAGGGCUUAAUACAAGAAGGAAAAGAUAUGGGGAUGGAAUGGUGAAAAGAUGUGCCCUAUUCCUUCCUUUCCACACUGCUUGACCUUCAUUUCCCCUCCUCUCUCAGUUUUUAAAGACUUUUAAGCUUCUUAGCUUACAAAGGCGUGCUCAGCGAGCAUGUCUUGCUCAACGAGAGUUAGUGACUGGGCACUAAGCGGGCUUGAACACGCUAAGUGUGAGAAGAGACAAAAUCCUUGUUGGACAGGCUGGCUGCACACUAAGCGUGCUGCUCUCUGACUCAACAUUCUCUAGGGUUUCCUACUCGCUUAGCGAGCUGACUUCCUCGCUAAGUGGAUGAGUCUCGCUUAGCCAAUCUAGUUCACUAAGCGAGCCCUUGAGCAACAUUUCAAAAUCUUCUCUUCCUUAGCCUAAAAAAUUCAAAUAAAUUCAACAUUAGUCAUUCAAAUGGAGUUUCCACUGUAUAAAUUCAUACAAGAAUAAAUUAUUCACAAAUCUCACAAAAGAAACCAUAAAUUAAAGGUACAUUGUUACUUUUUAUCCUAUUUUUGAUGCAUUUAGUACAUAUGAAUAGCAAUUAACAACACUACAUAUUGGCAAAUAAUAUCUUAAUUUAGUAAUUGAGUAAAAAUAGAACACUAACAUUAAUUGGGUAGGGUUAUUUUAUUUUAAUCAGUGAUUUUUAGUUAAAAUUUAAAGUAUAUGGUUGUAUUAAAUAUUUUACAAGAUUUUUUUAUAAUAGUUCAACUUAUCUUGAGGAGGAAUAUCUCCCAUAAAGAUACUUGUGAUCUUUAAAAAAAAUAAUUGAGUAAAUCACAUAAUCAGAAAAAUAAUAAAAACUUAAAUAAUUAAAAUAACUUUUUUAUAUUAAAAAACCCGUACUAAAUAUGAAUAAUAACUAAUGAGUAAAGAGAAAGAGUAACAACAUAUUUUCUAAUGCACUGUUUAUCGCACUCUUUAUAAUUAUUUUUAAAUCACAAGGUUUUGUCAGUCUCGCCACAUAUUUAAGAAAAUAAAAAUUUAAGAUAUUAUUUUCUGAUUUAUAAUAUAGACAUAAAUUUUAAAAAAUGUGUCAAAUAAAUUAUUGAAAAGACCAAAAAAAGAAAGUUUAUAAUGUUUUUAUCAUUUAUUUAUUUUUUAAAAUAAAAAUAGGUAUGAAAUAUUUAUAAAGUAUUGUUAAAUGAUAUUACUUCUUAGUAUAUGGGUUUGAAUUAAUUGUUUCAAUUCCUUAAAACAUUUCUUUAUAAUAACUAUUCAAAAAAAUGUUAAUACAACAAACAUGCUCUAAAAACAACUCCUCUAAAUUAUUUUAUGUACACUUACUCAGAACACCUCUUUAGGGAGUAUGUUUCAAAUAAUUGAUUAACAUUUGAGUUGAGAAGAAAUAUUGUAGAAAUUGAAACUCUAUAAAUUAAGUUGACAACGAAAAAAUCCUUAUAAAUGACACGAUGCACAAUCGAGGGAGAGACACGAAGGCCAUUUCAGUAGACAGAACAGAAGAGAGGCAUUAAUGUCAUGACGUGAUAAGUUGUUUUUGACAUUUGGGUACAAAUUGUACAAUAAUAAUACUUGUACUAGCUUAUGUUUCUGUCCCAAGGAAUUGCUUAUAGUCAGACGUUCAGAAAGAUGCAUUGCAUAUUGCAAAGAAAAUGUCUACGUACGAGAUAGCACUGACGUUGAUUGAUUGCUCUUUUUACUAUCAUUAAUUUUCUAACGUCUCUGCCGGGAUUUAUACAAUUACGUUACACUGUGCUUGGCUAAUAAAAAAAUAAAAAUUUCAUCACUUUAAUUAUUUAGAAAAAACUAAAAAGCAAAUUGAGACGACAAUUUUUUAAGAAGAUAUCACAUAUUCUAUCCUAUAUUUGUCUUUUUCUAAAAAAAAAUAUUAGAGUAUUAUAUUUGCAUUUUCGGAAAUUGAAUCUUAACGUAAAUCAAUUAGAAGUUUUUUUCAUUCGUUAUAAAAUUGAAUCUAAAUAUAUAAUUAUAAAAUCAUUAUCAUUUAAAUUUUGUAGUUUUUUUUUCAUUAUAGUUCAGUGUCUGUAUGCGUUACAUUACAUAAAAAAAAUUUAGAAUUUUUUUUUUAGAAAAACAAAACCUUCUAAAAAAAUUCGCACAAAUCUUUUUAUGGUAGCACCGAGGCUCUCUGAUCGGUGGUAGUGUAAUGUAAUGUUGGCUCAAAUCAGUCAUCAAUCGAAAAUAUGUUCUAUUUGCAAGUGUAACUGUUUGUGACCACCCGCUGGCCAAAUGAGUAAAUUUAUUAAGCUCAUUUGAUUUAAUUUCAAAUAUACAGUAGAGACUUAGGUCAUCAUUUUUAGUCCAGAUGAGCAAUCAACCUAUGUUAAAUAUCAUUUGAUAACAUUACCCAAUCAAGAAAUAGAAAAAUUAAUAGUGUCAUUAUAUAUAUUAAUUGCAACAUAACCUAAUAUAAUUAGCAAUCAACUUAUGUGAACCAACAAGUUGUUGAUUGAAGUGAUAUAGGAUUUGAUUUUUUUAAAUAAUGUCUCAAGUUCAUAUAUUAUAAAUGAAAAAAAUAUAUAAUUGUAAAGGAAGAUUUUACUAAAAUGAUUAAUCAAUUUUUUUUAAUAAAAAUUAAUAAUAAAUAAAAUUAGUGAAUAUUUCACAUCAAUGUCAUAAUGAUAAAAAACUAUAAGAAAUAUUAUUUAUAGUUAAUAAAAAAAAUCCAAUCACCAAAAACCAUUUACAUUGCAACAAAACCAUUUACAGCUAAUCUUUUCUUUGCUUCUUUCUGUCAUUGUAAUUUCUACAACAUAAAAAAAAAAAAAAAAAAAAAAAAAAAAAAAAAAAACUCAAUCACCAAACUUGAAUAUUGUUGUUACAUAUGGCAUAACAUUCCUCCUACAGUUUUGCACCAUCUUCAUGUAAAGCAACUACAUGUUAAUGACAAUACCACAAAUGCUCAUUUUUUUAAUUUUUUUUAUAAAAUAUAAUAAUUAAAAUUAAAAAUGUGUCACAUUAAUGGAUUGGAAUAUGGUUCAACACUAAAAUUUGAUAUCCAACUCAAAGGAUAGUGAGACAUAUUAGGUUAGAUUGAAUUUUACUUGAACAAUUAAAAACUACACCAAACUAAAGUUUUAUGGUUGAAUUGAAUCAUUUUGAAUUCUUGACUACUUAUACUCAUGAACAUCCCUAACUAGAGACUUGCCAUUCCUAGUGGCCAGUUGUUCAAGUGCUGCCAUGUAUUAGUUUGAUGAGUUUUUUUUUUUUCCAAACUUGCCAUUAAUAUUUGUUAGUUAAACAUGUGUCCUUAUUUAAUCGGGGUGUGUUAACAAAUGUGUUAGUGCAUAUUUAAUUAUUUUCUUUUUGAAACUCGUCAUUAGUCUUUGAAUGUGAUAUACAUGUGACGAAUUUUAAUGGGGACUGAGAGGCCAUUUGAGCUCUUAGUCCAAUUUUCAAAAAAAGAAAAGAAAAGAAAAAAUUGGUGACCUAAUCUAAACUCGUUAGUUAACUUAGUGUAAAAUGGUGGAUCCACAUACGGGAGCAUUUGUCCGGACAAGAUAUUUUAUUUUGCUUGAAUAUAUUUCAUAAUUUUUUUUGCCCCUUAAAAAAUAUUGAUAUUUGCAUCCAUGAAAUCGUAAAAGAAAGAAUAAAUUGGUAUUAAUGUUAUCACUUUAUCUUUUUAAUUUUUAUACAUAAAGUGAAAUUAUAAGCAUGAGCGUUUUAAAUUUUUUUGUCAUAACAAUUUUUAUACAUAAAGUGAAAUUAUAAGCAUGAGCGUUUUAAAUUUUUUUUGUCAUGACAUAAUGCAUUUUAUAAAAGCUUGAAAUAUUUUUUCUAUGACAAUAUUAUAAAUUUCUUUUUUACCCUCAUUAAAGAUAUGAUUCAUGGAUUUGCCACCAGCUUAGUGUAUCGACUAUGUCAAUUGUCAAAAUAAUCCAAUACUGAUAAUAUCUUUUAAAAUAGUCUCAUUUUAGUAUUUAUAAAUUUUUUAAAGGUAUCCGACAUUAAUUGAUUUUAAUCAAUUGUGUAUUUAAAUUAUGAAUUCCAACAAUUUUAUUUUGGUCUUUGGCCCCGUUGGGCCUAUGAGAUAGAUAGGAGACCUAGUUGAAAAGCAUUUAAGAGUGAAAGUAUAAUAUGUCCAAUGCCUAGGUAAAAUGUUAAGUUAUAUACCACCCUUGACCGUAUCAAACUGAAUUCCAAUUUUUCGGGGAUGAUUUCUCAUUUAUAGUCUAAACCAUUAUUAGAUCCUCGGAUGCACAUCUUGCAUGGGUGGUUGCUCUGGAGUUGGGCAACACGGCCUAGAUAUAAGGUGUUUAGAGCUCGAUUAGUAACGAAAACAAUAACCAAAGGAUAGGUCAGAUUUUGACAACUGAGGUACAAAAUCCCUUAAUCUUAAGUGUGUAGUUGAAAGAGACUUUGCUUCAAGAGUCAUCGGAUUUUGAGAUAAUCAAUCUUAUUUUAAAUUUACACAUCCCACAAUAACACAAUAAGCAAUCAAUCCCUCUCAUAAAUUUCGCUGUCCUUCCAAUAUUCCUACUUUAAGAGAUCCUUAGGAAGAAAUUGAUCUAAAACCUUCAAAUUGGAUUGCUUCCAAACCUAACUAUUGUGGUGUCCCGUAUAUAACGAUAUUUCCUACUUUAAGAGAUCCUUAGGAAGAAAUUGUUUAACGUAACUUUGCUUUAUCGCCUACUAUAUAUUCUCCUAAACGUUGAAUUAAUGCAGAGAAAUAGUGCAAAUUAAUGUGGCUUCACUAAUAUACCUUUUCAUGCACAUUCACUGCAUAGAUACUACUUCUAGUGAAAGGAAGCAAACGCAGUUUCCGAAUGACCAAUAUUUUGUAUCUUCCAUAUUCAAGAAUUCAGUGAACAAGUAAAGUCGACAGUGCCUUAUAGCUUUUCACGUCGUGGAACUAGUUAAUAUAAUUAAAACCAAAGAUUCAAUCAUAUCUGUUUGCUUUCUCAAUGGAUAAAUUCAAUGCCAGCAACUCUAAUAAUAAUAAUAAUUUAUUAUUUUAAUAAAAUCAUAAAUAUUUAUCUUAAAAUUUUAUAUUUUAUACCCCUAAUUAUAUUGUUGGAAUCCCCUAGCUAGCAGGCCUAUUUUGCAUCCCUUUAUUUUAAUAACUCACAAGUAUUCUGUUAGAAUUUAUAUUUUACAUCUUUUAUUUUAUUUUAUGUGUUUGAAUCUACUAUUCUAUUUUUUUUCACUUUUCUUAUAUCUUUAUGUCUUUAUCUUCAUAUAUAUGAAAAUUAUUAUUAAAUUUAUUUUUUAAAAUAGAUUACUCCCACUACUGAAAUGCAUGCAUGAGACUAAAAAAAAUGAAUAAAUAGUUAAUUUAGUUCCUAAAUUUAUAUCUAGCUAUCAUUUUAGUCUUUUUGAAACUAAGAAAAACUCAAAUAAAUGCUUGAAAUAUUUUAGAGUUUCAUUUAAGUUUCUCAAAAUAAUUUUUUUUUUCAUUUUGGAUCCUAUAAACUUAUGUUAUUAUUAUCAUUUAAAUCUCCAGAGUAUAGACUAAAAUAUGAGAAAAAAAAUUUGUUUGGGUAGGGACGUGUCUGUAGGGAGUACUCAAUAAGUAAAGACGCCAUCUAACAAAUUAACUGAUCAAUUGUGGCCUACCUCAAAAAUACUUCAAAGAACUAAAUUACAUGUAUAUGCAUAUUAUGUAUCAGUAGUCUUUCUCAGUUCUGAGUCUCCAACAGACAAAUAGAUGUUCUGGAUGGGGCAGGGGGCGGCGAACUGAGUUAAGAGCAGAAGUACGAUGUUAACGUUUGGUCUUGUGAUUAAUAAUAUGAUUUGAAGUACGCAUGAAUCUUGCCAAACAUUUUCUUUUCUGGAAACGUAAGAGAAACAUGCUUGCUUGCACUGCACCCAUGAUGAUGAAGUUUGAGUAUAUCAUUAUAAAAUUGAAACCUAGAGCUACCCAAUACUUUCAUAUAUCUAUAUGCACUUGGGUUUAUAUAUAUAUGGUCAAGUAAAAGAACUGGUUUCUAUGAAUAGAUUGCCUAUUUAGUUAAUUGAGAAAACUUUUUUCCCUUUGUUUGUAAUUAUAAACAAUUACAAAAAAAUAUAAUAUUACGUUUCACUAUUUAUUUAACAUUUGUAAAUAUUUAAAUAGAAAAUAAUAAUAAUAAUAAUAAUAAUAAUAAUGGGAAAGUUAUGUAUAGAAUGCAUCUUUUAAAUUUCAAUCUCAUUGUUUGUCUGAUGAAUAUCUUCAAUUAAAUUAAGCACUAUGCAGCUGGAAAAAAAAAAAUUUCUCUUGAUGUAGCUAGCCUGCUGCCAAUUGAUCGAUCUUAAUUAAAACAUAAUUUAGGUUUGGAAGUAUUAAAUUUUGGUCUCUCUCUCUUGCGCGGGAACGCGGGGAGCCAUAUCUAAAUUAAAACUUGACUUAUUGUAUCUUAAAUUAAGUUGGUAUUGAAAACAUAGGGAUGAGAUCAUUUCAUUUACGGCUUAUUAUAUUAAACUAAUGCUAGUUGCAUGUUGACGUAAAGUUUAUCCAGUUCUAUGAUACAUUGAACAAGGCGAAAAAAUUAACCUUCAUGCUUUGGGAUCUUUUCGCCGUUUAACAUCAUUACUGUUUUUGUUAUAGUUGUCAAGUAGCUAUGAUUCCACAACUCUUCGCCAUAUAUGAUGUUGUUAUAGAGGCAAAAUUCCAUUGGAGUUGUUGGUACUUUAGUACUAGCAAAAAGAUAUUGUUGAUUUUUUUUUAGAGUAAGAAGAUAUUGUUAAUUUAUUCACCAAAAGAAGAAUAAAUUUCCUUAUAUAGCUCCAUCGGCGUAGACACAACCCUAAAGUUUAUGGAAAUUUUGGAGGUUAUUAUUUUCGUACUAGUGCUUGUUAUUAUAUAUAUAAUUCGGAUCAAAGAAUAUCUACUACAUAAUUCGGAUAAAAGAAUAUCAACUAAACGCUAAAGAAAUAAGUAAGUAGGGAGAAAACUUUGUUAAUAGAGAUAAAAUUUAUUUUGAUGAUUUUUACAUCAAAAGUGUUCGUCUUGUGAUUUUUGACUAUGAAAAUAUAUAUCUUAAUUAAAAAAAAAACUAAAGAAAUAAACCACUUAUUUCAAUUUACUUUCUUAUUUUCUAGGCACAUAAAAUGUCCUUUUUAUAUUUUUUUUAUCAUUUUAAAGUAGAAAUAAAAAUGUAAAUACGAUUUAAUUUAUUUGUCUCAAUCUGCCAAUCAGUGCCAAGGUUUACAAUGAUAUAAAUACCCAAAAUUAAAUUAAUAGGCAUGGAGUAAUACAAUACAAAAUGAAAAUCUCUAUCAAUUUAUUUUUGAAUUGUAAUAAUUGAGAAAUGUAUACAUUCCAACGUUUAAUUUCAACGAUGCUUUCUAGUUUUCAAAAAAGAAAAAGGUAUAUGAUAAAUGGCAAUUGAAAUCAUUGACAAAUAAAACAAUGAAAUGUGCGAUUCAAUCAUAUUUAAAGGAAAUGACGAUAUUCUUAUAUUUUGGAUAGGGAUACAUCAUAAAGUGAGUUUUUUAUUGUCUUCUCACCGAACUAAUGCCAAUUUAUGCCAUCCACAGUAAUUCUUAAUGGUAUAUAUACUAGCUAAUAUUGUUAUAUAUUCAAAUAAUCAAAAUUAUAUUAAUGAUUUAUAAAAUAUUUGUUUAAAAAAUAAACUAAAUUAAAUAUGUUUUUAAUCUCUACAUACAAAAUUAUUUAAUAUCUCUAUAGUUGUAGAAAUAUAUUUAAUAACUUAAAAAUAUAUUAAAAAAUCAAUAUUUCUCUUUAUUAAUUAAAAAUUUUAUAUAAGAUUCAAUUAUUUCAAAUAUCUUUAACCAUGAACAAAAGGCAAAAAUAACAGAUAAAACAAGCAAAAAGAAGAUUCUUCAAAAGCUUAGUAACAAAGGUACAAGCUAACGAGAUUUAACUAAACUAGAGUCCAAUCCAAAAACCAUCUCAUAUUCACGUACAAUUUGAAAAAUAUUUUAAUAAAUUUAAAGAUAAUAAUUUGAAGAGCAAAAUAAGUCAAAUACUUAAUACUCAAGAAUAUGUAUGUGUGGACUGAAGUUUAUUUAGAUUUAUUUAGUUUUUAGAUUGAAUACUUAAAAGGAAAUGUUUGGUUUGAUUGUUUUCUGUUUUCAUUUUUACUGAAAAUAGAAAAUGGUGAUGAAAAUACAUUUGGUUGGAUUCUUGAAAAUAUUUUCUCAAACGAAUAAAAAUCUGGAAACAAUAAAAUCUCGUUUUCAAUUGAAAUCAGGAACCUUAUUUUAAAUAAAAUGAAAACGCGGCGUCAAGGAAUGUAAUUUUAAACAAAUCUAAAAAUAAUUUCAUUUUGAAAACACAUUUUUAGUAUUUUAUUUCUUGAAAACAGAAAACAAGAAGUUAAAUCAAACAUGUUUUCAGAAUUUUAAUCUUUUGAAAAUAAAAACAAUUUUCAGAAAAUGAAAAUAAAAAAUAAAAUUACAAACCAAAACAUACUCUAAAUUUUUGUAAAAAAAGAAAUAUUACCUAAAAUGACUUGGUGAACAUAAUCUUAAUGGUGUGAAAUACCUUUAAACUACAAAGAACUAAAUAUUUAAAUCAAAUAAUUACCAAAAAUCAUAUUAUUUUAUGUGAUUUUAGAAAAUCUAACCUAUAUUUAAACACACUAAAUUAUGUAUAAAUGUAUAGGUCAUUUUCUUUGACCAAAUUAAAGAAGCUUUGUGUGUCUAUCUUUUUUAACGGUUUUUAAAUAAGGGUUAGAGACUUAAAGUAAUACUAGUAUUCUUACAAUUGUUUUAAUGAUAUUUUUCCGCUGGUGAUCGAAAAACAUGUAUCCGUCAUUAUCUCAGUUUUGUUUUUUUGAACAGCCAUGUCCGUAAAAUAGAUCUUGAAUAGGAGGAGCUGGAGAGAAGAGGGAGAAAAGGGGGAGCCGGCGGCGAACUGAAUAAUUUGAAGUAUGCAUGAAUCUUGACAGACAGACAUACAUUUUAUUUUUGGAAACAUAUAUAAGAAAAUGCAUCCAUUACACCAUGAUCAAGUUGGAGUAUAUCAUUAGAAAAUUCAAACCUAGUUAGAGCGAUUGAACUUAAUUUAUUAUCUACACUUGGGAUUGGGAUAUGUUUAAUUUAAUUUUUUUAUUUUUUAUUUCCUAUUUCUUAUAAAUAAUUACAUAAAUGUCCAAUAUGUUUUUUCUCUCAUUUUUAAGUAUUUGCAUAAGAAACAAAGAAAACAAUUAUAGUUAAGUUUUUCUUUAAAUUUUUUAAAAAGUUUUCAAAUAUAUAUAUAUAUAUAUAUAUAUAUAUAAUGGAAAAAGUUAUAUCCCAAACAUGCAUUUAAACUCAACAUUUCCUUAAUCUUUAAGGUCUAUUUAAUUGGUAGCCAAUGAUAAAAAAAAAUUAUCUUAUUGACAUCUUCAAUAGGAUAUGAUUUACUUGUUAUAUUAUUUAUCUUAUCCUAUAUUAACAUAACAUAAUAUUUCUUAUCAUAUAAAAUAAAAAAAAUAGAUUAGCUAGAAAGUAAUAGGAUAGAUUGUUACUCAUUUUUAUUCUCUUGUUACAAUCACCACCUUAUCAUUAUCACCAUUAUUAUUAUUGUAAUUGUUAUUAUCAUAAUAAUAUUAUUAUCAUCAUCACUUAAUCAUUGUUAUCACUUUCAUUAUUAUUAUCAUUGUUAUUAUUUCAAUCAUCACUAUUAUCAUUAUUAUCACCAACAUUAUUAUUAUCGUCAUCACUUCAUCAACUUUAUCAUUGUCAUAAUCAUAAUAUUUAUCCUAUUACAUCUUAACCACCAAAUUAACCUCUAUUUUCACUUAGAUGUGUAAGUCCAUUAAUAUAAUUAAUCAAAAACACCUUUAGCCUAGUUAUUGUGGUGUCACUUAAAAGUUAUUAUCUUUAUCCCUAAUUAUAAUUUUUUUAACUAAUUUAGAAAAAUAAUUAAUUUAAUUAAUCAUAUUAAAUUAAUCAAAUAUUUAUACAAUCAUUCCUAAAUAAUAAAUAUUAAUUAAUGUCGUUAGGCAUUUGUUAAAGAUAAAGAGAAUAUAUUUUAAAAUCGGAUCAGAGUCAUUAAACCGUUAGAGGCGUUAUUGUUGUGUCUCUUAAAUAAAACAUUUUAAAAUGCGAUCAGUCAUUAAAUAGUUUGGGGGCAUUAAUUCACAUCUUAUUGAUAUUAGUUUAAUUAUAGUCGAAACAGAAUUGAAUAGGUAUUAAUUAUGUUAGGUAAAUUUGUAAAUUAACAUAAAAGGAUUAUACUAUAUGUCCUAUAAGAUAAUUAAUUAAAAACUUUAUAAUAAGUAGUUAAAUACAUUUUUAAAUUAAUAUAAAUAAUAUUCAGUAAAAAGAAGUAGUUAAAUAAUAUGAAUUCGUACAUGAAUAUCAUAUACUACUAUAAACCUUUAUUUAUUUCAUUAUUUUAGAAUUAAUACCUUAAAAAAACAGUUCAAAACCGAAUUUUUAGUACCAGAUCUUGAUUUGGGCUGAUUCUUAAUUAAAAAAAAUUUCCCACUUCGGUUUCUUGUGUUAUUAGGCAUUUAGGCUAAUAACUUUUCCUCUAAAAAAAAUGACUAAUAACUUGACUGAUUUCUAUUCCAACUGAUUAAAUUGGUCGGUAUGGUCUAAUUUUAAAGUUAUGCUUAAAGAUAUUUUGAUAUUUAAUAGUUCCUUCGUGAAGAAAUUGUUCAAUGUAACUAGGGUUUACCACUUCUCUUAGAAAAGUUGAACUAAUUCAAAGAAAUACUGAAAUGGGAUGUCACUAUACCUUCCCCUACAAAUUCACUGCAUUCAUCCUACAUAUCAGGUGAAGAAGAAAGCAAAAGUUUCCUAAUAUAUAUCCUAUAUUUUGUUUAUUUGAUUCAAGAAUUCAUUGAACAAGAGAGUCCUCUAGCUUUUCACUAUCGUGAAAUUAAUUAAUAUAAUAUUUAAAACCAAAGGUCCAAUCACAUUCUUUCCCUUUUUUCAAUUGAUAAACCCAAAGCCAACAACUUGAGAAAUCGAUUCUAGAUGUAGGGACAUGUCUGGAGGCAGUCAAUAAGCGAAACAAGAAAGUAAGAGUGCUGUCUCUGAUUAGUUAAUUUAAUUUAUUUGUGGCAUAUAUACCUCCAAAUUAAACAUCAAAGAACUAAACUAUACUAUGUGUAUACCAGAAUCGGUUAUUUAAGAACUGUUUUUGAAUGUAAGGGUUAGAUAAUUACUCUUCGUGGUCUUCGGAUGAUUAAUCUUCGUGAUAACAUUUUCCUUUUUUUACAGAAUUGAUAAUAUUUUUCAGUUACCGAUAAAAAUAAAAUAAAAAUUGUAUCGGUCAUUUUCUCAGUUGCGUUUUUAACAAACAUGUAAAGCAAAUAGUCUUCGGAUAUAUAGGAGCUGGGGAAUAGGGUGAAAAGGGGUGCAGGCGGCGAACUGAAUAAGCAGAAGCACGAUAUGGUGGAUCUUGCGGUUGAUACAAUAAUUUGAAGUAUGCAUGAAUCUAGACAGACAUAGAUUUUCUUUUCUGGGAAAAUAAGAAACAUGCAUCUAUUGCCCAUAAUGAAGUUGGAGUAAAUCAUUAGAAAAUUCAAACCUAGAGGGAUAUUGAACUUUCUUAUAUACCCUUGGGAAUUCGGUCAAGCAAGACUUUUGGUUUGAAUGAUAAAGUAAAAUAAAAAUUCUUUUAUUAAAAAAAAAACAUAACACCUAUUAAUUAUUCAUAAAAAUAUAAAAAUAAUAUUGUUAUCUUAUUAAACUAAACAAACCCUUAACUUUGUUUCUAAAGGGGAACGAAAUUAUCUUUUUCUUUUUUAUUUUGAGUUUUAAUUAUCGCGUCAUGUAGCAUACAAGGAACUUCAUCAGAGAAAAAUUUAACAUUCAAGCAGUUUAUCCGUUAGAGUUAGUCUAAUAGUGUAGAUUCUAAUAUUAUUAUAUCGUUAAUAUACACAAAAAAGUAAUACCACUAUUUAAGCAUAUAUACGGCAAUCUGCGCCAUUUUUAUUCAAUAAGAAAAAAUAAAUAGUAGAAAAUAAUUGUGUUUACCAUGCAUACCUUCAUCUAAACUUCAAUCUCGUCAUUUUUUUUGUUCAACGAAAGGAAAAAAGGAAAUCAAUUUUAACUAAUAGUACAAGUUAUAUAACCUUGUAUGAUAUUUUGAUCAAGAAAAACAUACCUCGACGACGCACCUUCCUUCCAUAACCUAUUUUUUUAUAUUUUUUUAUGGUUUCCCCGAAUAAAUAAUUAUAGGAUUUUUUAUUCAAUAUUUAUAGAUUUAUAAAUGAGUACAUAUGCCCAAAAUUAGGAUAUGAAAGUCUAAGGCAUUUUUAUUUUGGUGAAUGCCUAAGGCAUUAUUGAUUUGGUUAUAUAUACAGCUUACACCGUUUGAACCCAUUUAAUUAAUUAACAGAUCGAUCUCAUUUAGUGGAGGGGCAGUUUAUAUAUCUUAUAUAACUGUACAAGUAAAGAAUAUUCAAUUUGUGUAUGUAGCCUGCAGCUAGUGAGCAUAAAACAAAAACUAGGGUUUUGUUGUCAAAUAAACGCAUGCUUUGAGUCGCAUGGCCAUACUCUAUGAUAUUAAAUUUUGGUCUCUGAUCACUUGAGGAAAUGCGAGGAGCAAUAUCUAAAACCAGCUGAGUAGUUGUAUCUAUAGUUGGAAUUGAAAAGAUAGGGAGCCAAUUGUAUACGACUCAUUAAACUAAUGCUAGUUGUUGACAUAAAGUUUAUCCAGGUCACUGAUACAUCGAACAAGGAGGAAAAUGUUGAUGUUUUGAAAUCCUUAUUUGCCAUUUAACAACAUUACAGUUUUUAUUAAUUGUCAAGUACAUAUGAUUCCACAACUCAUCGUCAUAUAUGAAGUUGUUAUAGAGGAGAAACAUCCACUGAAGUUGCUGGUUUGGUCCUAAAAAAUAUUUUUAAUUUAUUAACUAUAAAAAAAACAUACAUUUAACUAGCUAGCUUGCUUAAUUAGUUGACACAGACAGGCACGACCAUUUAUUUGGAGGAUGGGAAAGAAAACGAGGGGCUGUAAGAAAAUUUGAAAUUUGAAAUGGAUAAAAAAAUGACUGAGGAAAAAAUUUGAAUUUAUAUUUCUUAAUGUGUUUUUCUUUUUCCCCUUUUCCUUCACUUUCUCUGCAAUAAAAUAAGAGAAAAAUUUAAAUUGUAAAAACCUCGCGUUUGUGUUUUUUUCUCUGUCUAAACGUAGGGUAAAGGUUGUGAAACUUUGGUGGUCGAGAUUCUCAUAUUAACGCUGUCAUUAUAUAGAUUCAAUUAAAGGAUAAGAAUCAAAUUAAACACUAAGAACAAAUCCAAUGGAAUUGGUUAAGUUAGUCCUUAAAUUAAGAAACGUUCUUUUUUCUUUGGAAUUAUAACAAAUCAAGCUGGUAUAUAAUUAACUGAUGAAAUUGCUUAAAUGUGUUGCUCAAAUUAAGGAUGCUAGUUAUCAUACCCACAUAUCCUACUAAAUGUUGUGUAGCCAAGUACAAAAUAGAUAACUACUAAAUAUGCAUCUAAGUACAUAAACUUACCUCAAGAUGAAUGAUCUUCUAUUUCAACUUUCUUUUGGUCUCUGGUAGCAUAGUCAAGACAAUGAUGGGUUUUUGCCCUGCCCUAGUAGGUAUGGAGCAAAAAACAUUUUGAGAAUUCAAAAGAAAAUUACGACGAGACAAGUUAUUUUUAAUUAAUAAUAGGUGUUAAGUAAAAGUACAAUGUAUCCAACUAAAACAUAAUAAUAAAUUUAUAUGCUUAACCUUGCUCUUACAUGAUAUGGUCAAUUUGAUCAAGAACUCGAAAUUUAAUUGAUUGAAUCGUGUAGAAAUAAGAUUCAAAUCUAUUGAUUUAUCUCAAUAGCAUAGAUCACUUAACCUAACUGAAUGUCAAAUUUUUUAUUAAUACACUUCCAAAUUAAGUUGUUUUACACCGAUUCAAGAAUAUUUUGUCUGAAAAGAUGCAUCUAUAAUGUCUUAUUUGGUAAGAGAGAGAUAAAGUAGAUGAAAAUAAAAAUGAUGAGUAAAAAUAUGUGAAAAUAAAGUAAAAAAAUGUUUAGUUAAAGAGAUAUAAAAAGAUAACUAGAUAGUAGAUCCCACCAAUUCUAAAAUUAAUUAUCCUCUAAAUCCUCUCAGCAAACACGCCUAGUAAUUUUCAUCUAAUUGUCAUCCCACCAUAUUGAGUAACAUUCACAGCAUGUAAAUCUACUUUUAUUAAUCAUCUUUUUUUAUACAUACAACUCAAACUUAAAAAUUUAAAUAUCUACUGAUUAAAUAAAAAAAUUAUGACUAAUUUUAUACUUUCUUAAUAAUAAUCACCCUAAUAUUUUUUUUAAAAAUAAUAUUAGAUUAAUAAAAUUAAUAUAUUUAAUAUCUUAAAAAUGUAUAAAAAUAAUAAUUUUUAUAUAUUAAUUAAGAAAAUAUUAUAAGAGAGUUUAAAAUGAUUCUACCAGUAUAUACCAUUUGUUUAAAUCAUAUUGUUAGUAAUCAUUAUUCAUUGAAGUUUGGUGCCUAAAUUUUGCCUCUUUUGGUAUUAACUUGACAACAUUAAUUUUAAUUAUUGCUCUUUAUUUCCUUUUUCGAGACUUUAUUAUUAUAUUUUGGCAUCCAAUUGCUGGUUGUUGCUUGAUAAUUAAUAAAAAAUACAAAGGAUUUAUAGCAUAUGAAUAGAAUAACUUCUUUAAGGUUUUUUUCUUUUGAAAUAAGCUUUACUGACCAUUAUUCGGUCAUAUUGAGAUAAUAGUGAAAACUAGCCUAGAGUAACAAAAUCAUUCUUUUUAUACACAUCUAUAGAAGUGAUAAUGAUUUGUGUUUUUUUAAUUAAAUAGAAUAGGAUUUUGAAUUCAGAUUUUGGUAUGGAAUUAAUUGUGUUGGUAAAAAAAAUGUUAUCGACAAAAUUCUAUUUCUUAUAAAACCUCUGAUAGGUGCACACUGCACACAAUGCAUAAACUUUAUAAAUAUUAAAAAAUUGUAAUAGUUAAGAAAUUUGAAAACCAAUAAUUAAUCUUAUAAAAAAUUAAGUUUACCGCGGAUAUAAGUAUAUGAUGAAGAUAUAAUCUUUCUCGGUGUAUUAAUAGAAUCUAAUUAUGUUCAUGUUUGACAUUUAAAACUUUCACCCUGUUAAUCAUGAACUUCAAUUAUUUUUUGCUGGUCUUUAAGAAAAAUUGAGGGAAGCCACGCGUAUGUAUACAACGAAUGAAUGUGUCGGAAAAAUGGAGAGGGAAGAAAUUGAAACACAUCGAAGUUAUUUGUAGUUGUAACCACUGAAUAGGCUAUUUGGCGUUGCUUAUAAGAGAAUAGCAAAAACGUAAAAUUUCCGGGUUUUCCAAUGUUCCACUCUAGUUUGCCCACGUCAUAACAAUGAUUCAUGGUGUUGACAUCACUGUCACACUAAGAAAAAAAAAAUAAACAAGGCCCAAAACAAAAACACUUUGUAAAAAGCAACAAGCAAGAUAAGUAUUAGAUGAGGAAGUAAGUCAGUUUACAACAUGAAAUAGUAGGAGAAAAUUUAAGUUUAAUUUUCGUAGAAUUAGAGUUGUAAAAUAAAUUAAGUUGGACUAAAAAUGUUGAUUUAAAUAAAACUGAGUCUAUUUGAGUCUGUCCGAUGGAUCAUUAGUUAGGAAAAGAUUUGAGUUUAAUUUUCAUAAAAUUAGAGUUACAAAAUAGAUGGAGUUGAAGAGUAAAAAUGUUGAUCCAAAUAAAGUUAGAUCAAUUUGGAUCAAUCCGAUGGAUCCACUUUAUUGGCAAAACUCAAAAAAUAUAGGUCUGCAUUCAACUAAACCUAUUUAACUCAAUAAAUUCUUUUUCUUUAAAAUUUGUAUAAAUUAAGAAAUCAGAUUUGUAGGUCUAUAUGAACGAGCUUACCUAAUAGGUCUACAAAUCUGAUUAGACCAAAAGAAAGAAAAUUCAUAUAAAAAAUAGAUUGAUUCAAUUCAAUUUAUUUUUUACUUUGAACUGACGACUUAAGCUGAACCAACCCGUUUAUUUUGUUAGUUUUAGGUAUAAUACUCUCUUGAAGAGAAACCAAGAACUUAAGUGUGAACAAACUCCAAACUAAAUAUUAAUGUUAUAAUCAAUUAAAAAAUCAAAAUAUAUAAAAAGAACUCUCGAAAUCCAAUCAAAAAGUCAAAAACCUUAAUUAAAAAAAAUACGAUAAGUAUUAAUUCAUCCUCCGUUAACCAGCAAAAAAUGAUCCUUCUAGCCCCUUCCUUUCCAAAAAUCCAAAAAGGCAAAAGUGUCCAAUGCACAUAUUCUCAAGAAAGAAAAUAGGCGGGCAAGGAAAGUCAUCUACAAUAAAUGACUCUGCACAUUGAAUCAUGAGGAAUUAGUAAUUUUUUUUAUACAAGGUACAUUUUAGUUGGUUGAACCGAGACAUUGCUUGAUCUUGGACAGUGACCCCUUUGGCAUAUACAAUGACUAGGACUUGACCACCGAUCCUUGUCCCUUUCUAUACCAAUAAAAUCCCUCCUCUUCUCCAUCACCCCUCUUCAUUCCCUCUUCUUCCUUUCUACUUUCUUUUUCUCUCCUUCUAUGAUAUUAUAAUUAUCUUCAUUCCAUUGCCUCAAAUAUUCACUCACCUCACUAGCUACUCACUCAUCAAUCACUUAUCAUAUUCUUCACUCUCUUUGCCUCUCAAUGUGGUUUUUUCAACAAGGGUUAUUAUUAGGUGAAGAUGAUGAUGGUGCAUCCUCGUGAUCAAGUAGGUGGAGAGACACACAAGAAUUUGGUGGAGCCAAACGUGGCAGCUUCUAAGAAAGCUAGAAAUUGUGCAUGCAUGGUAAGUUACUCGGUGUUGAUUUUGGCUCUUCUCACUUUGUCCAUUUUGUUGCUACCUUUGGUGUUACCUCCUCUGCCGCCACCACCCUUGUUGCUUCUCUUUGUUCCAGUUUUCAUCUUGGUGGUUCUCUUUUUCUUGGCCUUUUCACCCUCCACACUACCCAACAUGGCUGUUCUUACAUCAUGAUGUGUAGAGAAUCUUGUAGCCUUUCAAUCAAAUCUAUAUAUGCAUUGUAAGUUCAAGAAGAAUAAGCACUAGUGGAAUGAAUAUAUCUUGAGUUAUGAAUUUAUGAUUGUAUCUAUUUUGCUCAAUUCCUCUUCUUGUUACUUUGUUUUGUAUCUAUGAUCUGAUUGUACCAAGAAAAUGUUAAAUUUUUGAAGCAGAGUAAUGACUAACUAAACGGGAAGUACUGUGCAAUUUGAGUCUUGGAAAUGGUUUCAUGAUCUGGAUUUUUUUAGUAUUUAUUAUAUAAUGUAUACAUGCCUUGUUACCUAAAUAGCACGCUGCAAAUUAAUGAAGUCACGUGAAAAGAUAGAUAAAGAUGAAAACUGUUGGCUGGAAUUUUAUAUAUAUAUAUUUUUUCUAAAUUUUUAGUAUCUGGGGAGAAAAAGUAAUGUAGGGUGUUAUAAAUGUUGUUUGGGGGGGAUGUAUUUGACUAUUUUCUUUCUUUUGAUUAAGUCUUCUGAAAAUGGUAGUUUGGUUGAGAACAUGUAAAGAAAUUUAUCUGCGAACGAGAUUGUGGAAUUUGCUGGCCAUUAGUCAAUACCAACCAUAAUUAAGCUCAAAUAGCAAUCCUUUCCACCAACGUCAUAGAGGGCUUUUGAAGUAAUUAGUACUCCUACAACUAUUAGAGAGAGAAAGAGUCAUUAAUUAAAGAUGUCAGG
Molecule: long non-coding RNA, 87037 nt
Filed under: Glycine max (soybean)
Lineage: Eukaryota; Viridiplantae; Streptophyta; Magnoliopsida; Fabales; Fabaceae
Description: long non-coding RNA (GMAX_LNC000631)
Source: RNAcentral